This 46904-nucleotide long non-coding RNA is filed under the name Malus domestica (apple). RNAcentral describes it as "long non-coding RNA (MDOM_LNC004318)". Lineage: Eukaryota; Viridiplantae; Streptophyta; Magnoliopsida; Rosales; Rosaceae. The record is from RNAcentral.
ACAAUUGCAAUAAACUACCUUGAUAGUGUAAUCUAAUAUCCACACUGUAACUGACAACCUUGGUAAUCUAACCCUUGGUAAUUUACACAUUUAUACAAAAAUAAAAUUAAUCAAUGGUAUAAGGUAAUUCAUUAUACUUAAAUCUAUGGUCUAAGAUAAUCCUUAACGUUUAUGAUUAAGAUAAUUCUUUGAACUUAAUCAAUGUCCUUAAAUUUUUUAUUAAAACCAACUGUAUCUAACACUAAGACCAUUUGUUGAACUUAAUCAAUGGUCUAAGAUAAUUUUAAAAUAUUAUUAUAUUAAAGGGUACCGGUACCUUUACUUUUUAAUGAGGUACCGUAGAAUCCUCCAAUUUUAUAUGUGAAGGUAUAUAGGUUGAAACUUAAAUAGGAUCGAAGGUUAUAUAAAUUGAAACUUACUAAGUUCCGACGACUCUUUCGGUAUUUCCUUGAGUUUGACCAUCAACUCCAAACAUUUUAGCCAUUCCAAAAUCUGAUAUUUUUGGAUUCAUUUCGCCAUCUAACAAGAUGUUGCUAGCUUUUAUCACGAUGUAUAACUUUAAGCCUAGAAUCUUCAUGAAGAUACAAAAUUCCUCGAGCGAUUCCUCCUAUUAUCAUGCAACGUCUUGACCAAUCCAGCUGUUCUCGUUUCUUGGGUUCUGCAUGGGUAACAUUUAUCAAAGACAAGUUAAAAUUUACAGCCAUUUACACACACUCACACAUAUAUUGCAAUUAACAAAGGAAAAUAUUUGGUCAAAUGAUAUUCACAAACCAAAUAGAAAUUUGUCAAGACUUUUGUUGGGUACAUAUUCAUAGACAAGUAGGGUUUCUUCUCCCUCCAAGCAAAAUCCCAGAAGCCUCACAAGGUUUCUGUGUUGAAGUUUGGCUACCAAUACCACCUCAUUCUGAAAUUCUUGUACACCUUGUGUGGAGCUUUUCGAUAGCCGUUUUACUGCUAUUUCAUGUCCAUUACCAAGUGUGCCCUACAAUAUGUAAUGUGAACUAAUUAAGCAGUAAGCGUUGUAAAUACUAUUAAUUAUGUAGUAUAAUAUGUAAUCAAAACCAAUUAAGGUUAUUUAAUCAAUCAAUUAUAGUAAAUAGAUAAACGGUUCAUAAUAUAUAUACCUACCUAUUUUGACCUUUUGAUUUUAUACACUUCGAUGCGUAAAUGAUCACUUUUUUAUUUUUUAUUUUUUGCAUGAAUAUUUUUUCACAUAGCGAUGAUCAGGAACUAUUUUCGCGUAGGAAUGCCUUUUUAAUUUUGUGGAGCGAAGGAUCUCAUGCAAAUAAAUAUUUUCAUACCUUGAAAACGGCACCAAAUCCCCCUUCACCUAAUUUGUUAUCAUCUGAAAACUUGUUCGUGGCAGUUUCAAUAGUUUCCAAUCUAAAUUGCAAUGACUCGACAGUCUUCUUCAUAUCAUUACCAACUACAAACAUUGACUCAAAAUAUUAGAUGUCUUAGAUAAAAAAUUUAUUAAGAAAUAUAGGUAAUAUAUAAAUACUUUUCAAAUCUUUUUAUUAAUUAAUUACCUUUUUUCUUUUGUCGUUUGGAGUGGUAUCUCUCUUUGACUGUUCUGAGUCUCUUGCGAAAGAAGCAUCCGGCCACAACCACAACUAACGAACAGAAAGCAACUGAACCAAGAGUACCAACGAUGAUUACCAUCGAUGCGGGUUUGCUUCUUCCUGUAUGAAUACAAAAUUUAACAAAUAUAUAUCUCUGGGUGGGGCUACCUAACAAUAAUCAAAGAGCUAAUCGAUUUUUAUUUUGAUUAUUUGCUGUAAGAAUCAUCCUUAAAGGAGAAUUUAAAAAUGAACGAUUCAUAUUUUUACGUCGUGAGAUGACUCAACACGGUGAUUUGUGGCAUAUGAAAUUAUAUACAAUCAAUUUUUAUCAGUCACAAGAAUUGUAGAAAACUUGAAGGAUAUCAUCAUUUACCAGAUCUGUUUGUCAUGAAGGUUGGCGGUGACGGCGGCAGCAACACCGGCGACGACUCCGUCACCGGUGCCGAUGAAGUCACCGACGCUGUCGCUGACGCGGACGCCUUCGCUGUCGCCGGCGCCGACGCAUUCGCUGUUGCCGUCGCCGUCGCCAACGCCCUCACAACCGUUACCGGCGGCAACGCAGACAGAGGCUGAUUAGGUGGCAGUGACGACGGUGUGGUGGCAUUUAAAGAGAUGGUAAGGGUGCGGCGGGAGCUUCUUGCGUAGGGAUCGUUGAUGACGUCUGUGGUAGUAUUGGGCAAUGCAAUAAGAAGUAAGGAGAGAACGUAGAAAGGGAUCAUGUCACCUUGCAUGGAAAAACCUAGGGAUUUUGAUAAGAGGAUUAAUUCGUUCAAGUUUUGCUAAAAUUUAUAAGUUACAAGUUUAUAACAAAGUCAAUGCACGCGACGCUUGACUGACUUGACUCCUGAGUCAACGUCGAAGCAGACUAGAAUCAACGAGUGGAAAGACUAGAAUCAAGGGCUCACAGAGAACCACGUGGAUAGGAACUAGGGGAGCUGGUGAACAGCUCACAGGUUGGACAAUAAAAAACAAAAUUAUAACAACUCAGUUGUUCAAAUCCAAGAACGCUUUUCUUUUUUUUUUUGGGUAAACCGCUCCCCAGUAGUUCCUAUCUGCUGGGCUUCAUAUAGGGCGCAAACCCUUUUGCAAUUGUUGAAUGGGCAGCCGCAACCCAAUUACCUCCUAUUUUGUGAAUUGUUGGAGAAGUAUUUUUUGGGAUGAAAGGCAACUCAACCCGAUUGCUCUUGUAAUUUGGUGACCGGUAGAGAUGCUCUUAUUAUGGAAUCCGAAUUCUCUUCGGAUCUUCUUUGUGAGGAUCUCGAGAAUUUGUGAAUCGUGUCCGUUCAUUAUACAUUGUGCGGUCAUAAAUCAUUUUAAAUUUUUUAUUUAUAAUUGAACAUACAAACUGUAUCUGACGAAAACUUAUCGCACGAUAUGAUAAACGAACACAAUUUAUAGAUUCUUAAAAUCCUCACAAAGAUAAUCCGGAAAAGAUCUUAGCAUAUUAUGUACUCAAGAUAAUGCAUGCUAAUCAUUUUACGUUACAUCCAGGCCCACACAGCACCGAGUCACCAACACUGAUUGAGCAUAAAGUAAUUCGGAUCUUCUUUGUGAGGAUCUCGAGAAUUUAUGAAUCGUGUUCGUUCAUUAUACAUUCUGCGAUCAUAAAUCAUUUUAAAUUUUUUAUUUAUAAUUGAACAUACAAACUGUAUCUGACGAAAACUUAUCACACGAUAUGAUAAACGAAUAUAAUUUAUAAAUUCUUAGAAUCCUCACAAAGAUAAUCCGGAAAAGAUCUUAGCAUAUUAUGUACUCAAGAUAAUGCAUGCUAAUCAUUUUACGUUACAUCCAGGCCCACACAGCACCGAGUCACCAACACUGAUUGAGCAUAAAGUAGGAUAUGACUCCAUCACUUUCCUUUUUUUUUCGGUGACAGACUCCAUCACUUUUCAUAGAGUCUCCAUAACACACUGAUCAGCGAUUAAAACAUGCAUACAUAUAUGCAUGGCAUGCUCAGGGUUCUUUUCUUCAAAUAGGGCGCAAAUCCUUGCUGAAUGGGCAGCUGUAACCCAAUUGCCUCCUAUUUUGUGAAUUAUUGGAGAAGUAUUUUUUGGGAUGAAAGGCAACUCAACCCGAUUGCUUUUGCAGUUUGGUGACCGGUAGAGCUGGUCUUAUUAUGGAAUUCGAAUCAUUUCCAAAUCUUUUGUGUGAAAAUUUCAGAAAUUUGUGAAUCGUGUCCGUUCAUUAUAUAUCGUGCGGUCAGUAACAUUUUUAAUUAUUUUUUUUGUUUAUAAUUGAAUACAUAAACAGUGCUUGAUAAAUAUUAACUGUACGAUAUACGAUGAAUGAAAAUAAGGAAAAUUAGGUUCACAUCCUUCUUUUUGUUGCUCCAUUGAUUAAAAUCAUAUUCAUUUUCAAUUUUUGAUCAAGGUCCUUGGGUAUUAAUAACAUCAUUAAUUAUUUGAAAAAUAAAAUAUUUUUAUUUUUAAAUAUAUUCAUUUAAUGAUAAAAAUGUUACAAUUAAUAUAUUUAUAUUUAUGGCUAAAUUUUUUAUCAUAUAUUUUUAUUUUUAGUUUGUACCUAUUUUUAAUUUGCAAAUAUUUUUUAAUUUGUACCAAUUUUCUUUUCAUUUUUAAUUUGUACCCAUAUAUUAGUUUCUUUUUGUGCCCAUAUUUUUAAAAAUUUUAUUUUUGUUUUUACCCAUGUGUAUACCGUCAAGUGACAUUUAAUCAAAGAUAGAAAAAUUACAUAUGGUAUAUUUAUGUUUUAUGCCUAAAAUUUGUAUCAUAUAUUUAUAUUUUUAGUUUGUACCCACUUUUAAUUUGCAACAUUUUUUUUUUUAAAUUUGUAGUAUUUUCUUUUUAGUUUUAUUUUGUACCCAUGUAUUAAUUUCUUUUAGCGCCUAUAUUUUUAAAAAUUCAUUUGUAUUCAUAAUUUUGAAUCUUUUAUAUGUACCCUAAUUUAUUUCUAAUGUACCCAUUCUUCUUUAUUAAUGUACCACUUUGUUAUAUGUGAAAUGUACCAAUUUGUCUGUAAAAUGUACCAAUUUUUUUAACACUAUGGAUACAUUUUUUUUGCCAUUUAUUAUUUAUUAUUUUUACAUAGUUUUUAUCUAUUUAUUCAAUCAAAAUGUUUGAAUUUUUUUAUUGUAACCAUUUAUAAUAGUAUUAUAAUGAGGGGUUUUAAAUUUAUAGGAUUCUAAAUCUCAUAAAAUAUCAAACAAUUAAUGUCAAAACUAUAAAAUUAUAAAUAUUAAUAGUAAUAUAAUGAGGUGUACAAAAUCAAGAAACCUUGAUCAAACUUUGAAUAUUAUUAAGAUUUUAAUAAAAAAAAUGUUAAGAAUUAGAAGCUGUAUCCAAAUAUCUCAUGAAAAUAAUUCAAGGAUCUGUAGAAUUCCCAUCAAGAGAAUCGGAAAAAUAUCAUGUUGGCUUAUUAUGUACUAAAGAUAAUGCAUGCCGACCAUUUUAUAUUACAGCCAGGCCAACACAGCGCCAAGUCACCAACACCGAUUGAACAUAAAGUAGAUAUGACUCCACUUUUCAUAUAGUCUACAUAACACACUGAUCAGUGAUUAAGACAUGCGUGCAUAUAUGCAUGGCAUGCUCGGGUUUCUUUUCAUUUUCAAACAAAUGGGAAAAAAUUGACGUGGUACGAGCUGUCAUCAGCAUUACGAUCAAAUAAUAUAAAAUAUUAUUUUAUUAAUAUGAAAAAAGAAAUACCUAGUUAGGGUCUCAUAUAAACCUUACCUCUCAUAGAGCAAGAAAAACAAAAUACAAGAAAAGAUGGGAGGACAUACACAUUAUCCCUUUUGAAAAAGAAAAUACAAAAAAAAUGGGGGACAUAGACCUUACCUCUCUUGAAAAAGAAAAUACAAAGCCCAAACCCCUCUAUAAACCUAAAAGGUAAAAACUUGCAAGACAAACUGCAAAACAAAAAGGAAAAUCCAAAAAAAUUAGGUAAAACAGAAAAUCACAAAUCAUGAAGGGGAGACAAACUUGUAGGCUAACAUGCCCAAAAAAUCUGAGUGCAAAAGAGGAAGAAUCUCUAUAAGGGGAAAGGCAUGCUGAACAAAUGAAGACAAGAGAAUCUCUAAAUUGGCUAAUUUAUCAGUGCAUUCCGUUCUCAAAAUGUCCGAGACGAAAUUUGGUGUUUUAAGAUGUCAUGAACAAAUUGUUGCUGGUUGGGUUUUGUGUUGUUGCGAAUUUACUUGAGAUCCUCAAUAUCCCAUUUAUGCUUCCUAUUAUCAUAUUCUUUAUGCACUUGUCACUCUUCUAUAGUUUACAUUUGGAUUUGAUUCUUUGCUGAUGCGAUGUUGUGAUAGGGUUUAGUAAUUUUCAAUAUUCUUAAGACUCUUUUUAAUCUGCAAAAUCAAAUUACCCAUGAAAUUUAUAACAUACAAUCAGUUUCUUUUUAGUUGGGUUCAAAUGAUGUUGAUUACGCUGUUAUAAAACUCCUUUAUAGUUAGGUUGAAAACCAUAUCAAUAGAUUCUUUAUUUGGUUGGUCCAAUCUGUACUAGAUGAGAUUGUUUUGUUUGAUGUUUCAAUCAAAAUUUGGUCUUUUUUGUGUGUGAAAUUAUAAUGGAAUCACAAAUCAAGUAUAUCUUAGAUUCUUGGUUGCAUACUCACCUUCCCACAACUAUUAUAUUAUCUAUUGAUUGGAUGUUUUUUUUUUAUUUUUAUAAUUUCCAGGAUCUACGGUUGCAAUGCUUUUGAUACAUGCAGUAAGGAGGAAGUCGCUACUCUUAUGGAGCUUCUUUGGCAUGGUAAGUUGAAGUUGCAUGUCAUUUUUUUUUUCGUUCAUGGAAUUCAUUAUCUUGCUAUCUUGGCAAUUAGCAAUGUCUGACGAUUGGUAAAAUGUAAGAAUAAAUGUGUUGAAGGUUGAAAGUCUUGAAUCAAUUUUAAGAAAGAACAAUCUCCUGUUAACUGUUAAAACUCCCUCUUAUAUUUAGUACGUAGAAUCGUACACAUGAAAGUGAAUUUUAACAACUCUAACUUAGAUUUCUUAAUAAUUUGAUUCGUCUUCCUUUCAUUUGUGUUCGACUAUUUUACUUUUUUUCUAUGUAAGUACAACUAUUGAUCGAAAGCCACAGAAAAUACUCAACGGUUGAGAAAUUGUUUUUGUUACAAGAAUAGAUUAAGAUGUAAAGCUUAAAUUUUGGGCACUUAAAUAUAUGUGUUUUGUUUGGCAAUUACAAUCACUCGCAUGAAAAUCCAAUUGGAUUUGUUCUGGUCUCCAUGAUUUUUUUUUUGUUUGAUUAUUGAUUAAUUUAUGUGGCGAGAGUUUAGAUUUUGCUUUGCUGCCCAUGUAUAUUUGAUUUGAAAUGGACAGUUCAAUUUGCUGUAUAUAAAUUAGUAAUCAAAAAGCUCCAAGGAGAGGUAAAUUAGAAACAAUGGUGGAAGAGUGAUGGAGUUGAGGAGUUGAUAGUUUAUAGGGUUUCUUGAAUUUCUGGCUGAUGUCCAUGGUAUUGAUAGAUCAUUGAGACUGACUGAUUGGUUGAUUAAUCACUAAUUUGAAAUACUUAAAAUGUAACUUUUCUUUAAUUCCUUUUCAUUUUGUAUUUUCAUUGGAUUCGAAAAAUGAAACGAAUCCAAUCAGCUAUUACGCCUUUGAAUAUUUUUACAUCUUAAUGCUUACUUUAAAUACGUUAAUUUGUUCCCGUUUCUAUAAAAUUUUGUGCGAUGUGAACAAUGUGGGUUAUUCUCAAUCUUCAGAUGGUGAUUAUUUGGCAACUUCUGAAACAUGGCUACUCAGCCUCUGAAAUACAGAGCUGGGGAUGAGAGCAACCAGAUGAGCUAGAAUUGGGUUUAUAUCAUUCUAAAUUAUUCGUUUGGUUACCGAUAGAAAAUAUGGUUGCCAAGUCCAGUUUUUUAUUUUCAUCAUCUUAAACAUUUUCCUUUGAUAGCACUUUGUUUUGAUUUGUGAACGAACUAUAUACUUUAUAUUUAUCUUAGGUCAUAGUGUAAUGUUUAACGAUUGAAUUUGUGAGACGGUUUAGUAGUUUUUUCAGAAACUUACUAUUCCUGCCAGAUGCUCAAAUAUUAUGUCUUUUACUGUUUUGCUUUCCCUUUUCCGUGUUUUUCCCCAUAUAGUAGGCUUAGCACUUGAAACUAUGAGUAUAAUACUGAUGGCACAAUACAAUCUACAAAUGAAUGCUUUCUUAUAGCAUGCAUAUCCGUAUAUAGCAAGCUAAGUUUUACUUCAUUGGUUCUUAGGUACUACGUUGUCAUUAAGUUAGUUUGUGUGGAAAUUAUUCAUGCCUGUCACGACUAAUAUAUUCAAUUCCCACAACAACGCGCAAACAUAUUUUCUUGUAAAUACCAUGAAGCUAGAGAAACGGGCUUUCCCUAUAGCUAAAAAAUUAUCUAUAUACUAAAACCCGGUAGAGAAACACUGUUCAUGAGCAGUGUAAUUAGGGGUGGUUCGGUAUGAAAUCCCAUACCGAACCCCUUGUCCCGAUUCCUAAACCAAAAAUUUCGGGAAUCCCAAUUUCAAUACCGAUCCCAAACCAAAUUUUCAGGAAUCCCAAAAUAGUUUCGGGAUUUCGGGACAAAUCGGGAAUCCCGAAAUGAUUUUGGGCUUUUGGACUAAAAUAUUAUGUUUUUAGGCUAAAAUUGAACCUUUUAACACUUUUGGGCUGCAAUUUGCUAAGAAACACGUUGCAAUAUGUGCCAAUUGCAAGACUAUGUCAAUUUAAAUGUAGAUGCUACAAUUGCAAGACUCUGCCAAUCUGGAUUCAAAUGUAGAUGCUACAAUUGCAAGACUCUGUCGAUUUAAAUCAUUCAUACAGAAAUAUGUGCAACUAUUGAAGCCUUCAUUUUCUAUGGACUCCCAUGUCGUGUGUGUGUGGGUGCUUAUUAUAUAAGUGUAUAAGUAACCAAGCUGAAAUCUGUGCACAAAUCUGCCCAUCUGCCAAUCUGUGCAGUACAACGGGUAAUGGAGUGGAGUGGUGCAGUACACUCGGAUCUGAUCCAAAAGCACAGAUAAUCAGUUAGUCAUUAGAAGUUUCAGAGAGAAAGAAAAGAGCAAAAACAAGUUCUCAAUGCAUAUUUAUCACUCAUCCAGAACAGAAAAGAAGAGAACAAAUACUAUAUAUUAACUGCAAGAGCAUAUAUGAGUUAACUGUAAUAUGAGACUCUUAUAGGAUUCAACCAAUACUAACUAUUAACUGCAACAAGGACCAGAAUUAUAUAGAUAACUUAAUCUGCAUAUAUAUACAACAUUGGUUAGGUGGCUUCAUGAAAUCUUUACAUACAAGUACAACUACUCGAUAACUUGUUGGUUUUUCCAAUUAAGUCAUAGGGUGAUUAGUAAGAGUGAAAUAUUAUUCAACUUCGAUUUUAAACUUCAGCCGCUCGUUUGGACAAACUUUCUUAAACAAACAAUUUAUGCAGUAUCCAUUAUUGAUACGUCUUACCACUUAACAGUGGACAUGAAGAAGGGACAUGAUUAAUUGGGACCAAACAAGGGGUGGCUAUGCAGAAUCACAUAUACACAAUAGCGAUAUAGAUCAGAAAGUAGCGGGUUCCUAACCUCUCCGUCGAUUCAAAAUCCCUAAUUCAAAAACCCUAAUUUCAGAAAUCCAAAUUCAAAAUCUCUAAUCAAAUUUGGAAUCAAACAAUUUGUAUGAAGUUUAUUGCAGGAAUUUCUUACCUUUUGCAGUGAGGAGAAGUGCGGACUGAGGACUGGUAUGGAGGACAGUGGGUGAAGGCGCGAUUCAGGUGAGGAGUGAGGACCCAGAGGAAUGAGGACUGGUGUGGCCGUGCGGGUAGAUUCGGGAUUCAGGCGACGGAUGUGGAAGGAGAGACAAAUCGGCGAGGAGAGAACAAGAGUGAUUGUCGAGAGAGACCGAGAGAGAGAUCGGGAUUUAGGUCUGAGGUGAGGUGAGGUGAGGGUGAGAGUGACGAGACUGUCGAGAGACCGAGAGAGAGAGUCAGACACGGGUUUAAAACAUAACAACGGUUGAGAUUAAAUCUCAACAGAAUCCAACGGCUAUUAAAAUUCUAAAUAUAUAUUUAAAAAUUAAAUAAUAUAUAUAUAUAUUUUUUUUCGGUUGGGUUUGGGAAUACCGAAAUCCCAAAAACUUGAGACCGAUUCCCGUACCGAAAUUUCAGGAUCGGUUCGGUAUUGGGUACCGAAAUUUUCUGGAAUUUCGGUUUGGGAUUUUUUCGGUUUGGUUUCGGGAGUUUUUCGGUUUGGUUUGAGAUUUUUGGGAUUUUUUUCCAGCCCUAAGUGUAAUGGUGGAAAUGCCCUUGCUGGCUUCUCAUUUUUCCUUUCUUUCGCCUGGUUGGUACAGUUAAAUGGCGCUUUUGCCCAUCUUGGACACGCACCCGUCAUCGUCGUUUCUUUGUUUUGGGUGCAUUUUCACCAUUGUUCUUUCUGUUUCCAUUUCUUUCUUUUACAGAUUUGUGGUUUUACAGAAAAAGGGAAAAAAGUGAUGAACUGGAGGAAAGUGGGAAAUGCACUGAGCAAGUGCUUGGACAAAUGUUUUUAAUUGAGUUGUAAAUUUUGUUUCAGUAUUAGACUUUGUAUGAAUAUACAUUUGAAUAAUCAUUUUGCAGUUUUUAAAUAAAUGAGUCUCACUAAUUUGUAUUAGUUUUUAUCUGAACCACAUGUGCACUUACCAGUCUGUGUGGGUUAACUAAAUUGAUGCAUAUCUUGCCAGUUAGCAAUAUGUAUUUGAAGGAAUUUUUUAAAAUAAAUCCUUUAUUAAAUACGUUUAAACAAUUUGUCUUUGGUUCUAUAUGUUUGAUAAAAAUUGGGUGGAAUGAGUAACCAAUUUAAUCGGGUGGCGCAUAUUGGGUGCGCGAUAGCAUUGAUAUAGGAAAGAACGUGAUCCACGCGCGCGAUAGGAAAGAACGCAAAACUUUCAUUCUCGCGACGUACGGUCCUCUAACGGCGCCGGAGCUUCAUCUGUAGGAAGAUUUUCUGGAGUAUGUUGUGAUAAAUCAUGUCAAAUCUGUUUGAGGGUUCUAGGGCAAAUUCUUGUCCAUGGGCUUUUGCCAUGGUUUCAGAUUCCACUCCUCUUCCCCGAAAUUCGAAGCCACCAUCUAUGAAGGCCAGGACCUUUGCGUCAAUUGUCUCGGAUUCUACUGAGCGUGUUAGCUUGAGUCAACUCUCAAUUCCCGUCAUACGUGGCGACCAAAUUUUCGUUAAAAUUAGCGAGGAUUUGUACCAACAACAAUUGUAAUCCUUCCGUACCAAUUUAAUUGGGCGUUUAUUGUUGCGCAAAGGGCACAGCCCCUUUAAAGACUGCAGAGCUCAAAUCAUCCCUCGAGGCUUUAUGGAGGCCAGUCGUGCCAUGGCUUCUCGUCCCGCUUGGGAAGGGUUAUAUUGAUAUCCAUUUCAAUAUUGAAGAUGACAAGAGGAGGAUAUGGGGAGGUGGGACUUGCACGUUACCGAAUGGAAUUUUUCGUUUAUCGGAAUGGCAACAAGAUUUAAUCCAAAUGAUAUUGCACCUCCUAUACAUGCUCAAGUUUGGAUUCGAAUAUAUAGGCUUAGCCAGGAUUAUUGGCAUCCACGCCACCUUCUUGAAAUUGCGAGGGGAGUGGGUACUCCUUUGCAACUUGAUAAGGCCACGAAGGAGCGCCAGUUUGGAUAUUAUGCUCGUGCUUUGGUUGAUGUGGAUCUAGCUGUUGACCUCCCCUCCUCCAUCAUGGUGGAGCGUGAGGGUCAUAGUUUUCCCAUUGAUAUAGUUUAUGAAAAAUUGCCGGACAAAUGUAACCAUUGUGGAAUCUUGGGACAUACCAUUGAUCGUUGCCGUCACCUUAAGAAGAAAAAUGUGGCAAUGGAUUCCCAACCUUCUCUAGCGGCAGGACGAAAGGUAAAUAAUAGAACAGAGUAUCGGGUUAUUCAAGACCCAAAAAGAAAUGAAUGUGUUGAUCUGAUAGUUGUUGAUAAGAUGCAACCUAUUGAAGAGGUAGUCCAUUCAUCCUCUCCAAUGGAGUUGAACUCUCCUCUUGAUCAGCAACCGGACAAUCUGGCAAAUGAAAUAAUUGAAUCAGCGGCCAAUGAGAUCAUCAAUUUAGUGGCUGAUUUAGUGGUGAAUGAGCCAAUGGAAGUGACUAAGCCAACUAUAGGUGCUUUGAUUAGUAAGCCAACUGGGAAAGCAUUGCAGGAUGAGCAAGGAAAAAAUGUAAUUGGGGAUGACUCGGAGUCUGACGAGGCUAUCACCCCUCAUUCUCAACGUUUUGAAGUUAAUUAUGGCGAUUUGGGUACUAAUGUUGGUCAGCUUGUGUGCCAGCAUUCCUCUCCUAAUUCUUCUGAUCUUCAAGAAUGUGCUAAAAUUUGUGAUAUUGUUAAUGAAGACAGAAUGACUUUAGUUCUUUCAAAAUCCCAAAAAGCAAAGAUGAGGAAAAAGAUUAGAGAUGGGAAUAUUUCUAAAGAAGUCAGGGAACCCUAUCCAACCCGCUUUAGGGUCCCCAUAGAACGACUUGAUUUAUGAAGAUUCUUUUUUGGAAUGCCCGAGGAAUGGGGAAUGCUCCCACGAAACGGGUUCUAAGAAGAAUGGUUCAACGUCAUCGUCCAUAUUUAAUCGGUAUUUCUAAACCUUUUAUUCAAUUAAAUUCUAUUAAAUUGUCUUUUUAGCGAUCCUUACGCUUGUUUCCAGUUGCAAUUAAUGACAGGGGUGACCUAUAGCCAAAUAUUUGGUUGCUUUGUGAUCAAGCCUUCCAACCUUCUAUUUUAUUGGCAACUGCUCAACAAAUCACUAUUUCUUGUACCUUGGAUUUUGUCAGUUGUGUUAUCACUUGGGUUUAUGCAAAAACGACAAUUAUUGAAAGGCGUCAGUUGUGGCAAGACUUGCAAUCUAUCAAAUCCUCUUUUGUUAAUGGUCCAUGGCUAGUUCUAGGGGAUUUUAAUUGUGUUUUAGGCGCUCAUGAAAAAAGGGGUGGGGUUCUUCCCAAGACUACUUCUUGUUCUGAUUUUCAAGAGAUGUCUUCAGCUUGUGAUUUGCUUCAUUUACCCACAAAAGGAUUGCCAUACACUUGGACGAAUAGAAGAGGAAUAAAAAAUCAAGUGGAAAUGAGAUUGGACCGUUGCCUUGGUAACUUUCAGUGGAUUGAUGCAUGGUCUUUGUUGGAAUGUUCUACUUUACCCCGUAUAUCUUCUGAUCACUGUCCUCUUCUUGUUUCUUUCUCAAAGUUAACAAUCACUCCGAAGGCUCCGUUACGGUUUCAUAGUAUGUGGUUGGAUCAUCAGGAUUUUUUUCCCCUAGUUGAGGAUGUUUGGAAGUCUUCUAAUUUUUAUGGUUGUCCAAUGUAUGUGCUUGGUGCUAAGCUUCGUGUGCUUAAGUCUUGCAUAAAAGUUUGGAACAAGUUGGUUUUCGGGGAUGUUAAUAUGAAUGUUGAUAGAGCUUUUGAUGCUUUGGAUGAAAUUCAAAAGGAAAUUUCCAGCUUGGGUCCUUCAGAAGAAAGGUUUACAAAGGAGGAUAAUGCUUCUUUGUGCGUGCAAAAGGCUCUUAUUGCACAGGAAAAAUUUUACCGUGACAAGUCUCGCAUUAAAUGGCUUUCUGAAGGGGAUAAUAAUACCUCUUUUUUUCCAUUCCAUGGUUAAAAUCAGGAAACUUCACCAGUCACUAGCAGUUAUGAGAGAUGGUAAUAGGGUACUUGAUAAUCAUAUGGGUAUUAGUCAGCAUGUUGUUACAUAUUUUCAAGAUCUUUUUUCUGCAGAUAGUUAUGUGACGGACACUGGUUUGGUUGCUCGCAUUAUUCCCAAGGUAGUCACUGCCACCGAAAAUGAGUCUUUGUUAGCAAUUCCAACUCUUGAUGAAAUUUUUGAAACUUUAAGGUCCAUGGACCACUCUAGUUCCUCGGGUCCAGAUGGUUUUGGCGGGUCUUUCUAUUUUAGGUGUUGGCCCAUUGUGGGUAAUGACGUGGUUUAAGCAGUACAAAGUUUUUCUCCCAAGGGAAUAUUCUGCCUCACUUCAAUUCUAACUUAAUGAUUUUAAUUCCAAAGGUGGAUGGAGCGAAUUUGAACCAUCUUCGUCCUAUUGCUUUGGCUAAUUUUUCAUUUAAAAUUAUCAUUAAGAUUUUAGCAGAUCGUUUAAGCCCUAUUGCUGCUCGCAUUGUCUCCCCCCCAGCAGAAUGCUUUUACGAAAGGACGAUCUAUUGUGGAUCCCAUCAUUCUCACUUCUGAAUGCAUGAACCUCCUUGAUAGACGUUGUAGGGGUGGGAAUAUUGCAAUCAAGUUUGAUAUUCAAAAGGCGUUUGACACUUUGGAUUAGGGUUUUCUUCUCUGGGUUUUGGAUGCUUUUGGUUUUUCAGUAGGUUUUGUGGAUUGGAUCCGUUCUAUUCUAACUUUAGCUCAUCUUUCUGUCUUUAUUAAUGGUUCAGUUGAAGGUUUUUUCCCAUGUUCUCGUGGUGUUCAUCAAGGGGAUCCUUUGUCUCCUAUUCUCUUUUGUCUAGCUGAGGAGGUUUUUAGCAGGGGUUUAACAAAGAUGGUGGAAGAUGAUCUAAUUGACACUUUUUCAGUUCCCAUGGGUAUUGCUCCACCAUCUCAUGUUCUUUUUGCAGAUGAUAUUAUGGUUUUCAUGUGUGGAACUAAGCGAUCUAUGCGUAACCUAAUGCGUUUUGUAGAGGAGUACAACUUAAAUUAUGGGCAAUGCAUAAAUAAAUUAAAAUCUUUAGUUUUUCUUGGGAAAAAUGCAAGCAGUCGGCAUGCUAUUAUUCAGAAGGUUCUUGGUGUAAGUCAGGGAAAUCUGCCUUUUACUUAUCUAGGUGUCCCUAUCUUUCAGGGUCGUCCGAAAAGGAUCUAUUUUCAAGCCAUUGCUGACAAGAUUCGUUGCAAGUUGACGGCUUGGAAUGGUUCUUUGCUUUCGCAAGCAGGGAGACUCCAACUUAUUAAUUCAGUAAUUCAGGGAAUCUUGGUUUAUAGUUUUCAAAUUUAUGCUUGGCCUACUAAUUUGCUACGUGAAGUUCAAGGGUGGAUUAGAAAUUUCUUUUGGUCUGGUGAUCCAUUAAAACGAGGUAUGCCUCUAAUAGCUUGGAGUUCUUGUUGUAAGUUGAAAGAAGAGGGUGGUUUGGGUAUCUGAGAUCUUUUUGAAUCCAACCAUUCUCUCCUUCUUAAAAGAUGUUGGGAUGUAAUUUCUUCUUCCUCACCGGCUUCGGAUUGGUUACGUAACAGAUUUCUUAAAGACAACUUUCAUUUGCUAAAGUCUUAUAAAAAGUCUUCCAUUUGGUUGGGGCUUAAACAAUUAUGGCCCUCCUUCUAUAGUUCCCUUCAAUGGAGUGUUGGUGAUGGCCGUAAGAUUUCUUUUUUGUAUGAUAACUGGCUUGGAACCACUUUGCUCUCUAAUAUUGGUGAGGUUGACAUAAUUCCCUUGAAUUCGAAGGUAAAAGAUUUUAUUCAGGAUGCAAAAUGGUCUCUUCCCAUUGUCUUUACUUCUUCUUUUCCUCAUCUUUCGGAGAAGAUUAUGAAGACUCCAUUGCCAAUUGCACACAUGGAUGAUGCGUUAUUUUGGACAGGUUCAUCUUCGGGUACUAUUUCAGCUAAGGAGGCUUUUCUUUUUUUCUCAUCUCAUGCUCCACAUAAAAAAUGGGCUAAAAUGGUUUGGCAUCAAUCUAUUCAGCCACGCAAAAGCUUAGUAGUUUGGAAAGCUUGUCAUGGAAGAUUAUUGACUGAUGAUUUAUUGCAACGCCGAGGUGUGGCUUUAGCUUCUUAUUGCGCUUUUUGUCAUAAUGCUAGGGAAUCUUGUGACCAUCUUCUUCUGCAUUGUCCUCAAACAGUUGCUUUAUGGAAAUGGAUUUUCAUUCUUUUUGGCAAGCCUUAUGUUCCUUGGCAAUGCAUUGAAGAUAUUUUUUAUGGUUCUUUGGUCUCAUCUUUCCUAACAUCUGUUCGGAAACUUUGGUUAUUGGUUAUUUGCAGUUUCUUUUGGUGGCUUUGGCACGAAAGGAACAAGAUUAGGUUUGAGAACAAAAGUUUCAGUAUUGUCGAGUCCCAACGUUGUCUUUUACAGCAUUGGAGGGAAUCAGCUUCUACUUGUUUUUCUUCUUUCACUGGUUGUGUAUCGAUUCCCAUAUUCUCCAUGUUAAGAAUUUCAUCCCUUUCUUUGGAUGCUCUUAGUUUCGUGCCUGUGUUUUGGCGUCCGCCUCCUGUUGGGUGGAUUAAGAUUAACACAGACAGGUCUUGUAAAAUGAAUGGUCAAGUGGGUAGUGGUGGUGUUUUUCGUGACUCCAGUGGUCUUUUUUUAGAAGCGUUUGCCUCCUCGUCUUCUUAUCCAAGUGCAGAGCUUGUGGCUGUCAUCGAGGCAAUUCAGAUUGCAUGGGAUAAAAAAUGGCAUAACAUUUGGUUAGAGACAGAUUCUAUGCAUGUCAUCAACCUACUAUCAGCUCACUCUAUGGAUGUUCCAUGGUUUCUUAAAGUUUCUUGGACAAAUUGUUUAUGGCAUAUUGCUCACUUGCAUUUGCGUUUUUCGCAUAUUUUCAAGGAAGGGAAUUGUUUGGCGGAUGCUUUUGCUAAUUUUGGUGCAAUGAAUAGUAGCUUUACGUGGUGGGACUUGGUACCAGAUUUUGCUAAUACGUCUUAUAGAAGAGAUUGUGUCGGGCUUCCAUUCUUCCGUUCGAGCUCAUGAGGAGCAAAAUGUUGCUAUGGAAGAGGAUUUCAGGAAAGAAAUAUAAUCAACUGAAUUAUGGGAAUUCAAUUUUAGAUGACUGAAGCUAAGCACCCUUAAACUAGUCCAUAUCAUUUUCAUUAAUUGUUUUUAGCGGGUUUUGACCUAGUCCCCCCGUUUGUUACUUUUCCUUUUUUUUCUUCUUAUUAUUAAUAAAAUCUUGUAGAAGGGGGACGAGCAGGGGGUUUCUGGGUGCAACGGUCCUUUCUCCUUUGGGAGAGGGUUGGUGCCUCGCACGCGACUGUUGACGAAUAGCUAAUCUCGCCUAAUCCGUCUCUACAAAAAUUUCAAAAAAAAAAAAAGAAUUGGGGUAGAACUUACCCUAUGGUUUUUUUAUCGAUAUCAGCAUUUGGAAACAAAAGAUUGUGAAAUGCUAAGCUAUUUACAUGAAGAAAAUAUUGGAGAACAUUGUUUUAUUUAGAUUGAUAGAUGGUGGUAGAAGUUGUUCAGCAGAAUAACAAAAGCUUUCUUCCGGUUGUGUUGGUCGUCAAGAAGGCAGCCUACGCAACACAAAACGAAAAUAAAAUAUUGUAACACAUGUAUUAAGCUGUUGAGAAGAAUUAAGUACCAGAGUUUACUAUUUUUUUUUUCCAAUUUUAUUCAUCUGAGGUUUGAUUUCAGGAUUAUGUGUUUUCUGUUUAGUGUGAUUCAGUAUGGGUUUAUCUAGGUUUGUGGCUAAGUUUACAUUAAUGUUGAUUUACAUUUUUCGAUUUUCCUGUAAAUUUAUAUGAGUUUUGGUUUUUUAUUGUUAAUUUAGUAAUGCUAUGGAUAAUUUUGGCUUCUAGAUUGGUUCGAGCAUUUUUUUUUUUUAAUAAUUUCAGUUGUAGAUUCAUUGUUUCUUUUUUUACUGAAUUUUUUUUUGUCUCUACCUGCUGCUGAAAUUUGACUGCUCCUAUUAAUUGCUGCUGAAAUCUGAGUUUUGCUGUUAAUUUCUUUACAAGUCAUGUGUUAUGCUGUUGUUGUAUUCCAUUCAAAUCAAGUAAUGCUGUUUAUCUUGGUAUGUCUUUUCUCUACAACAAUAAUUUGGGGUUUUAGUUUAAAUUAUCACUAAUUCAUUUUUUAUUUGGCAUUGAAUUUUUGUUAAUAUGAACGGCUGGUGGCUAUAUGACAUGGAGGAAAAUGCUUCAAGAGCUUAUGAUCUUGCUGCACUUAAGUAUUGGGAUUCUUCAACUCAUAAACUUUAUGGUAGGGUUCUAACACUUGAAGUUUUAUGAGUUUGAGCAUUUUAGUAGCUGAAGUUUCAUUCUCUUGGUCUUUUGGCAGUUUGAUAAUUACACUAUACAACUUGAGUAGACGAAGAAUAUGAGCCAACAUGAAUAUGUUGCGCAUCUGCGAAGGUAGCAAUUUUAUUUGUUAAAAAAAAAUAGUUCAUAGGAGAAUUCAAUACAUGAAUGAAUAUAUGAUUUCUUAUCGUCGCAUACACUCGGUUGCAAGAGUUUGACUUUGACCGUUCUUUUUCCUCCUUGGCUUCUCUUUCCGUCAUUGACAGCGGAGUUUGUACCGAUCCCGAAGAGCUCUCUGCAUUGUUGAUCCCACAUGCGUCUAUCCUUUCCAAGGUGAGAAGUUCACCAUCCCAUGUUUUAGUUUGUUUCAGAUUUUUUUUUUUUUUUUGUUGUUGAGUUUCUAGGUGCAUGUUUCGUAAUCAAGAUUCGAAGAUAAUAUGCCACCAAUCACAGGACUCUGAAUUCUCUCUGUGUAACUCUGUUGCUGCACUGAAUCAUCAUAGUUUUAUUCACAUCUUGGAAACACAUUUUAUUUUUUUAUUCUCUCUGCUUUAUGGUUUUCCGUGCAGAUUGAGUUGAACAUGGGGAAAUCACCAGCUGUUACUCUCAGAAAAGGUGAUGCGAAGUGAGCUUCGGUUUUUAUUUUCCAUUUUGCUGUCAAUUUUCUUUGAUUUAUGUGAUUUGAUCGGUGAUCUCCAUUAUGAAUUUAUGUUUUGAAUUUUGAUACGUUGAAGAGCAAGAGCUCAUGAAUCCCGUACCUUAAUUGUUUUUUUUUCAACAUCUGUUCAUCUUAUUAAAUUCUAUGAUCAGUUUAGUCCUGUUAGAAUAUGUAAUAUUUCUUUGUGCACACAAAAUAUUUACUUUGGUUGGUGGGGCAUUUGGAAUGCUUAUCAGUUAUUUACUAAAGGAGGUUUAAAGCGACUACUUAAACUUCUUGAAAUGCCUGUUUUAAAAGCAAACAGGCCAGUUAAAUGGCAAUGGUCAUGUUGAUGCUUGAAUUACAUUUGACAGUGAUGCGUUUGUCUUUGAGGCUAAAUGUGUAAUAAAAGCUUUCCAUCUCUCUUCUCUUGCCAGUUCUCAUUCCUUAUUGUAUGUUUAGGCACUAAGAGAAUCUCAUCGGUAUGCAGGAACCAUCAACUAUAUGUGAGAUAUCAAAGCCCAAAUUAGGUUACCUAUUGUGUUGUUUAGCUGAACUUUUCCAAGUAUAAAAAUAUAUCGAUGUACUAAAAAAAAAUUGGAGUUCAACGCAUUGGGCUUCAUACAGCUCUUUGUUUUGCCCAAACGUUUAGUGAAGAUGAGAUAUUAAAUAAGUAUGAUACUAACUGGUUUUAUACAUGGUUUCCUUUUUGCUUAAAAUGUUUUUUGAAAAAAAAAAAAAUUAAGAUUACAUUUCAUAGAUUAUGUGAAAUAGACAAUGGUGGGAGUAUGAUUCUCUCCCCUCCUAUUUGAACGGUUACGGUUAAGCCAUGUCAACGUUUUGUGUUAAUUUUUUAAUAGCCAGAAGAAGACAAAAAGCAAUUUGUGAGAUGAGGGAAGGGAAGAGAAUGAGAAUAUGAAAUGAGAGAACCCUACUCCGCAAUGAUGAUGCUUCUAUCUCUCUCAAUCUGGUAUCUGUGGAUAAUAGUGCACUCAACGUGGAUGAAAGCCCAUUAAAGAUAAUUUUCUCAUUGAUUUUUUUUGUGGGCAUCCCGGCGGCAAAAGAGCUCAUUUUGAAGUCUUCCUGUGAAUUUUUUUUUUUUUUUGUUUUUUAGCAACGCAGUUGGUGUAGGCUGCAUGAAAAAGUCAAAGAGGGUUUCAAAUGCAGUUGCUCUUACUGUGAUAUGGUACAUUGAUCAAGUCAUUGAAAUCUCCUUAUUUUAUAUUAGGGUAAACUAUCAUUUGACUCUUUGAACUAUUAUUCUAAUUGAAAUUGACUUCCUAAACUUGGUAAAUAAACCCUCUGAAUUAGUUGAAAUCAACCAAUUUACCCCUUGUCGGUAGAUUCCAUCCACUAUUUCGUCAAAUUCAAAGGAAAAUUAGCUUGUUCUUCAUCAAUUCUUACUUGUCAACUAUAACCACCAAUAAACUUAUGACAUUUGAAAACAAUAUAAUGUGCAAUGACAAUUUGAGAUGGUUCAUUAUGUAAACGUUUUGUUUGUUUUUAUUUUAUUUUAUUUUAUUUUUAUGUUUUCUCAUUAUUCUAUAUGUUUUCGAAUUAUUCUGUGUUCAUGUGUCAAAAUUUUAUUAGUGGUUAUAGUUGACAAGUAAUAAUUGAUGAUGAAAUGACUAAUUUACCCUUGAAUUUGACAGAAUUGAUUCCGCAGUCUAACUGUAAUGGGUUAAUUGACUGAUUUUAAAUAGUUAAGGACAUUAAUUUACCAAAAAAUAGUUUAGAAGGUCAAUCAACUGGGGUGAUAAUUCAGGGGGUCAAACCAUUAUUUAUCAUUUUUUUAUUUAGUAGUUUUUGCAGCACUGAUAUCAUAUUCAAAUUUUUGUGUUAUCAGCUGCCUUUGUUAAUCUCAAUAUCCCUUUUUUUUAUGUUUCUUUUGUUUAUAAUCCUUUUUUGCUGAAUUAUUGCUCUUCGAAUUGUUUUGAGGAUACCUAAUUGCCCAAAUUGUUGAAAUUUGGUAAUUUAGUGAGCUUUUAUCUGCAUUUUUGGUUUGGUUUUUAUUUGAACUUAAUCGAAUUUGUAAGAAGUAUCUUGGCAUAACACAAUUUUUAUAUGAAUCCAAGUUUUCAAGAAUAGUAAAGGAGAGAAAGGAGUUUGUGUUUGGUGUAAAAUUAAUUUGUUUGUAUUCAAAGAUGAAGUACAACUCUUUUUGUCACACCCCGACUGGAGUCGAGACGUGCUGGCCGUCACGUGAGAGUGACGUAGCCAUGAGCGCAAGCGGAAGCGAUAAAGAGUAAGAGAAAUACUAACAAAUUAAAACCAAGUAACUAGCAAUCCCAGAUAAGAAAGGAUGCUAAUGAGAGUUUAAGCGUAUAAAUACACUUUCAGAGCAAUGAGAAAAUCUAGUUGCAGUCAAGUAGGAAAAUUACUAAGAUACAUCACCCUAAAGUAAAUCCUUCCUUUCAAAUUCUGUCAGAACAUCGUUGGAUUCCUCGUGGCCACCAAACUCUGCUACCUAAGACCUAAAGGGGCGAAAAACAAAGUUGAGUGGGUCAGUAAAACACAUUUACACGAAAACCUUAUUUUCCUUUGAAUAUACUAACCCUUCGCCGUAAAACAAGUAUGUAGAUACUUUCCCAGAAAUAGAAUACAUAAAUAUGUAUAUAUCUCAAAUCAUGUUAAAAAAAAUCAAGAUUCAUAUUUGUAUGUAUGCCAUGCCUAUAUAUAACAUAGUAAGCAAUUCAGGUAAGAAUAAUUUCAUAGAAAUAUGAUAUGUUAGCCGGAACCUCUAUAGUAGUCUGUACGGCUGAAUUCAUAGCUCAAAAGUCAAUCUAACCGGAGUCACUACAAUGACCUCUACGGCAACAUACUGCACAAGAGUCGGAACCAAAUGCAAAGGUCUAUACGACGAUAAUGGGUGUAAUAUAAUUAUGCUCAAUACUAGUCUCACAUAAUAGCUGGGCGAUAAAUCGCUAGUCACCUACAAGUUGAAACCAUAAAUAAGGUCUGUACGACAAGACUGUGCACCUAAAUUGGAUCCAAUGUGAGCAUAUGGUGCGGGAGGUCACAUAAUAAAUAGGCCUGUAUCAUAUCUCUGGCUAAAUCAUAAUCACCCUAGGUGCAGUUUUAUAAGCUCAACGUUAUUCAACACAUAUCACAUCAUUGACAAUUCACAUAACCAAACAUAACUUACCUAAGCUUACCUGGGCCUCCACAACACCAUGCAACAAUAUGCAUAAAUACCAAAAUAAAAUAUAGGCAUAGCAUGGCAUUUAAAUCACAUUUCCUUUAAAUACGUUUUCUGAGAAAAACGUCAAGUAUAUAUAUAUAUAUAUGUACUGAAAAUAACUGCCCACUCACAGAUAUGCAGCUGGGUCGUAACCCUUACGCCUAGCCUGGCUACGUUUGUCCUCCGGAUAGGUCUCGCCUAUAGGAGAAGUACUAAAAUAACGUCACUUUAAUGCACAUAUACUAAACUAUGUAAUAACUCUUCAUACAUAGCUCAAAUUGGGUAUAUGAAUAUACCACAAUGACCUACACAAUCUCAAGAUCAUCUCCAUAUUUUUAAAAUAAUUUUUCAUCCACUCAUGCGCCGCCAUGCUCCGGCGAGUGCACGGCAAGACGUGCCGCCACGCGUAAGGAGCCCUAACGGAAACAGUAAUGGCAGUUUGGGAAUAUUUCGUUAAAUCCUAACAGAUUCCGUUAAACUUAACUGAUGGUUUCAAAAUAUUCCGUCAGAAUUGACGGAAUAUUCCGUCGUCUUCAACCUCAGAUUCCGACGACCGUCGCCGUCGCUGGAAAAAUAGGAAUUUUUCUAAAUCUUAUAACUAGGCCAUUUCUCAACCAAAACGCACGAAACUUGAACCAAUUCAAAGCUUAUAACAUGAGGAUCUAGUUUAUACCGAUUUUGAGUCCCAAAGUUCGCUGGAUCUAGCCAGAAAACUCUCGAAAGUCCGGCCACCUUUGCAACUCCUUCGUUCUACGCUUUCCGACGUCCAAAAACCUCCAACGAAGUACUUCGAGCCUUGUAAGGAUCUCCUAAACUCCCUGUGAGCUUGAAAUUUCCAAAAACACAAGAUUUAACGUUUGCAUGAACAGUACCUCAAAAUGGUUCCUUUGAACUCGUAAAGUCCUCAUGAACAUAAUGGUGUGCUUCACACCCUCGAUCUGCCACGUUUCAAUGGGUUUUAGGUGCAGUCCAUACAAGAGAGAAGAAAAGAGAGAGUGUGUGAGUCUGAGAGAGAGUGUGUAUGGGAGGGUGAGAAAGAGAAAGUGAGGUGUAGUGUGUGUGUGGUCCAAAAGUCACCAACCAAUCACCACCCAUUUCCUUUAGUUCCAAUUGGGUCCAAAAACUUAGGAAAAUAAUGAAUGUGUCCAAAAAUCCAACUUAAAUCACACAACAUACUUUAACGUCUAAAGGUAAAAUUGUCAUUUCACGUCAUCGAGAAUAAUCUUCCGGGACGGGCUGUGACACUUUUCUUACAUAUUAGACCAAAUUGGUUUGAGCAUGAUUCAAGUCUCAGUAUAACUAGAUAUUUGUUUGCUCACUCAAAAUUUUGUGCAUCCCUUUAUGCGGUUUUAUAUAGAAAUUACUGGAUUUAUUCAUCCUAAAUUCACUUUUAUAUAAUUCCACCUACAUGCCAUGUUUUAAUGAUUAGUCAAUGGAUUUGUUAAAAGUGUUACAUGUAAAGAUUGGAUACAUUGAUGUUUGAGGAAAUCUUCUUACUUCUGCCAAAAGCCAGGUACUUAUCUAAAACAUAUUUAAUUACUUACAUAAAUUGAUUAUCUUUGUUUCCACUUUGUUUGGGUUAUGAAUAUCAAUGGAUUAUAAGUUUAACAUGUUUUUUUUUACAGUGGAAUUAGCUACAGUUCUCUAAACAUGCUUACAGUAGAAACCGUGAUUCAGAACAAAGUGCAUAAGUCUUUACAAGUUAUCCUACCGGUAAUAGAACUACAUCCUUUAUCUCUACUUGCAUGCUUUUUAACAUGGAGAAAAAUUGAAAUUGUAUGUUAGAAUUAGUGUUCUUCUUAAUGUUCAACUGCCUGGAAAGGGUUCUUGAAUUGUAUUUUGGAAUUAGUUUUUUUUUUUUUUAUUCAAAACAAAAGGUCAAUAAUUCCCUUCCUACAUUCCACAUGUAUGCAAGUAGUAUUGCUUAUUGUAUAUAAUUUUACAUGUUUUAUAUGGUUUUAAAAAGAAUUACCCUAUAACCUUCCCCACCCCUCUCUCAUCCUCUCUCCUCCCUCUUUCUGAUCCUAGGCCUAUGCUAAUGUGGUUUGAUAUGAAAACUUUCUGAUAGGCACUAAAUUCAAACAUGCAAGAUUGUGUGAUUAGACCUCAAAAAAAGAGCUAGAGCAGGGAUUUAGACCAAGGGGACCAAGGCAUAGUCAUGAAAGCCCCAAAUGAGCAACUUGAGGAAUGUGUUGAUAAAAACUUUUGUAUAUAACAAUUCACCAAAUGUUUUCAAUGUAAAUAGUAUUAAUGUUUUGCAACACAAUCUUUUAUAUACAGUUUUCAAUCUCGCAGCAACGCACAGGCACAAAUUUCUAGUUAAGUUCUGUUUGUACUAUACUUGACCAAUCCUGAAACUACUGAGCACUGGUCAACGUUAUACAGUCAAAGACCUAGAAGAGUUUCCCUCCAACCAGGAGGCCAAUCACAGCAUGACACGUGUUGACAUCAGAAGCCAAUCAUAGCGCAAUAUGUGUCAACAUCAGAAGCCAAUCACAACACGACACAUGUCAAUGUUAGAAUGAAACUAGAAACUCUCUUCUAUAAAUAGAGAUCAUUCUCUCACAAUAUUUCCUAAUGUCAUUUGUACUAAAUCAUUCACUAGUACUCACUAAAGGAGAGCUUGAACCUAUGUACUUGUGUAAACCUUUCACAAUUAUUGAGAACUCCUCUACUCCGUGGACGUAGCCAAUCUGGGUAAACCACGUACAUCUUGUGUUUGCUUCCCUGUCCCUAUCAAUUUACAUAGUUAUCCACACUAGUGACUGAAGCAAUUUAGCGAAGGUCACAAACUUAACACUUUCUGUUGUAUCAAAGUCCCCACUGAUUUUGUGCAUCAACAUUUGGCGCCGUCUGUGGGAACGACCAUCAUCUGGGUGCCCCCCAACACGAAGGGUCACCUUCAUUCGACAUGGGUAUCCCUGAUGAGAAGCGAGCUAAUCAUCAAAACAUUUAUCAGCAUGAGACUUCUCUCAACCCAGCUGCUUCGACCGAAGCAGGAGAAGUGGAGGAAGACACCUCCUUGCAAAAAGGUUGGAAGGAUCGAAAGCCGUUUAUCGUGACUGCUAAGACUUCCUAAAGCAACGUCGAGAGAAUCCCCUCCACAUAUGCUCGAAGAUCAAUGACCCAAGGGUUUCUGAAAGACUCGGUCCCCUCCCACGACCCAGGCCAGCUGCCAAUCUAGGGAAGGAACGACAUGUCCUAGAGGAACAUGAAGGUACAGGGGACUCUGAGGUAUUCUGACAGACUCGCCUUAGAAGUCAGUACGACGAGUCCAAGGAAAAAUCACACGCCCUUGCUCAAACUUUCCUACUUCCAAGAGGCGAUGAAGACUUACGAAAGAAAAUUCCAGUGGUACAUGACUCCACUCAAGACCCCCUUAUCAUACAACUCAUUGAGGAAGUAAACAAGUUGAAGACCGAACGUCAGGCCGAGAUACUUGACUGGAACCAACCCAAGCCUGGCCCUCUCACAAUGAGGAUCCUUGACACCACCUUUCAAGCGAAGACAAAACAAAAGCUUGGUUUACAACUCUAUACUGGAAGGGAGGACCCAAUUGAACACAUUAACCUCUUUGAGUCCACCAUGGCAUAUCGGAUGCACACCGACGAAUAGCGAUGUCUUCUCUUCCCCUCCACCUUCUCUGGCGGAGCUCUAAACUGGUAUUGCCGUCUUCCACCUGAGACAGUAGACUCAUUUGAGGAACUGAGGAAACUGUUUGUCUCUCAACACAUUUUCCAGACCGAUCACUUGCAUUCUACAGAUGACUUGUACACUAUUCGCCAGAAGUCGGACGAGUCACUACAAGAGUAUGCUGGUCGUUUCAGCCAUGAGUAUUCUCGUUGCGCUGAGGCAGAUGAUAAGACCACCCUCAAGGCCUUCAAGCAAGCCUACGUGAUUGUUUCUUCAAGUACAUGAUCAAUGCCAACACUUGGAAGACUUACUCUGAGGUGAUGGCAUAGGCUUACAACCAUGCCUCCGCCGAGGCAAGGACAUAUCAAGGAAACCCCCCAACAACCACCCCUUAUCAGCAAGUAGGGAGUGGAAGCCAGAUCCAACCAAAUGAGAAGACUUCGACCUUCCAACAGCAGCGGUGCCUUCCCCUGCCUUACUUAAUACUUUGCCAAGUCAACAGACAUAUCAAUCUCAGGGCAAAAGGAAAUAUUUUCAUCCUCACUAGUCUCAUUUUAGUAGAAGGAGUAAGGCACACUACCGCGAUAGCCAAGGGUAUCGCCAUGAUAAUCCCCGACCCCAGGCAGUCAACACAGUGGGUCAAGCACGUGUCAGGACAGCCCCUACCGUGAGGUAUGAGGCAUACACACCUUUGAACGCCACAUGCGUGGCCAUUUACCCCAGCAUAGCACACUUGAUACCGAAGCCAAAGCCGAGGCACUCGGAUUACAAGCCCACGAAGAACACGGGCACGUUUUGCUGCUAACACGCAUAACGGCCAUGACGGUGAGAAAUGUAUCACCCAACACGAGCAUAACGGCCAUGACGGCGAGAAGUGUAUCACCCUUCGUGAUCAUAUUAAAUCUUUGGCACAUGAAGGAAAAAUUGAUCAAUUCCUCAUUCACCCUCCAAGGGUAACUGUAACCAACACCAGGUAAAUGUGAUAUAUUCCAUAAGUGGUGGCAUACCCAUAUCUAAAUCUUCCAACAGGUUCAUGAAAAAUAGUGAACGAGCUUUAAGGUCUAGCCACCAAGUGUUUCACAUGGAAGACAUCAAGGGAGGAGAGUAUUAAAAGCUUAACUGGGAUCCAAUAUGUUUCUACCCUGAAGAAGAAAGAGGUAUCAUCUACCCUCACAACGACCCACUAAUCGUGGAAGCUCACAUAGCCAACUUUGAAGUACGACGAAUCCUGGUAGACACAGGGGCUUCGGUCAAUAUCAUGUUUGUUGAAGCUUUCAGGGCACUUAAUAUAGCUGAACACUUGCUCGAUCGCUCGAUUUCCCCUCUAAUAAGCUUCUCCGGUGAUAUCGUGCAACCUUUAGGGAGCAUACACUUACCUUUCACCAUUGGUAUAGGCCCUUACACAGCUACCAUUACCAUUAACUUCCUGGUGGUUGAUUGCCCAACGACAUACAAUGUCAUCUUCGGACAUAUAGGCGUCAAUGAUCUCAAGGCCAUGGUAUACACACAUAUGUUGUUGAUGAAAUUUCCAACCCCCUAUGGCAAUGGUUACAUCAGAAGAGAUCAACUUAGUGCACGAUUAUGUUACAACACUUCGAUCAAGCAACAACACCUGCCUGUGCCCAAGGAAACCCUUUCUGUACAUGACCAAGUCAUAAAGACCAGCCCAGACGAAGCCAACUUGGAUCUUCACGGUGGCAACAGUCAACCCGACGAUCCUCAAGAUGAAUAUUUCACCCAACAAGCACAACCCGCUGAAGAGUUGGAGAAGGUCUCUAUCUCAAAAGAUUAUCCGGAUUGCAUGGUGAAGAUUGGCACUACCUUGUCACCACCUAUUCAAUUGGCAUUGAUCUCUUUUUUUGCAAGAGAACAAUGAGGUCUUCGCCUGGUCAUACGAGGAUAUGCCAGGCAUCUCUCUCGAUAUCAUCUGUCAUCGCUUAAGUAUUGACCCCAAGACCAAGCCAGUGAGACAUAAGCAAAGAUCUUAUGACGCUGAACGGUAUGAGGCAAUGAAGGCAGAAGUUGAAAACUCAAAGGCAUAGGCUUCGUCCGCGAAGUCAAUUAUCCAAUGUGGGUAGCAAAUGUUGUCCUUGUUAAGAAGAAUCCUAACAAGGAAAGUCUCCUGCUCCAAAAGGUCUUGUGGAGAAUGUGUGUCGAUUACACCGACCUAAACAAAGGAUGCCUGAAUGAUAGUUUUCCUCUUCCUCUCAUAGACAGACUUAUAGACUCUACGGCAGGGUGUGAACUUCUAAGCUUCAUGGAUGCUUACUCAGGAUACAAUUAAAUCCUCAUGAACCCUCCGAACCAAGAACACACAGCCUUAACUACUGACAGAGGACUAUAUUGCUAUAAAGUCAUGCAUGUCGGCCUAAAGAAUGCAGGAGCGACUUAUCAGAAACUGGUCAAUUCAAUGUUUGCCGAACAGAUUGGGAAGAGUAUGGAAGUUUACGUGGAUGAUAUGCUAGUCAAGAGCAAACAUGCUGACCAACACAUCACCAACCUAUUUGAAACUUUCACCAUUAUGAAGAGGCAUCGAAUAAGGUUGAACCCCAAGAAAUGUGCCUUCGGUGCAGGCUCUAGCAAAUUCUUAGGUUUUAUGAUAAGCCAACGAGGCAUUGAGGCUAAUCCCGAGAAGAUCAAAGCAAUCAUCGAGAUGAAGGAACCGGUAACUUCAAAAGACAUCCAAAGCCUUACUGGCAAUGUGGCAGCCUUAACUAGGUUCAUCUCAAAGGCCACAGACAGAUGUGCUCCUUUCUUCAAAGCACUUAAGGGAAGUAAGAAGUACAUUACAUGGACUGAUGAAUGUGAUGAGGCAUUUAAGAACCUCAAAGACUACAUGAGUAAAGCCCAUCUGCUCUCCAAACCUGAGGUUGGUGACAUUCUCAUUAUCUAUCUGUCGGUAUCGACUUCAGCAGUAAGUUCCAUUCUCAUUCGAAAGGAUGGUAAUGUCGAACGACCUGUCUACUAUGCUAGUAAAGCCUUACAAGAUACAGAGACACGAUACUCCAACAUUGAGAAAUUAGCUCUAGUAUUGGUCAUGUCUGCUCAUAAACUUCGCCCUUACUUCCAAUCACACUCCAUCAUCGUGCCUACCAAUCAUCUUCUUCGAUAGAUACUCUAAAGUCCUGACAUUUCCAGGCGAAUGAUCAAAUGGGCGAUAGCAUUGGGUGAGUUUGACAUCUCUUAUUAACCAAAGCCAGCUGAGAAGGGCCAAGCAGUGGCAGACUUUAUAGUCGACUUCACAUAACUUGUUGACAUUGUUUCUACGCCUAAAGAAGUGGUUUCAUUACCCUCGGAGGCUAAGAAAAUAUAACCAACAACCCCAACAUGGAGUCUAUAUGUUAAUGGCUCGUCCAACCAACAGGGUUAUGGAGCAGGACUAGUCUUUACGACCCUUAACAAAGUGGCGAUGGAGUAUGCUAUUCGUUUCAAAUUCAAGGCGUCGAACAAUGAGGCCGAAUAUGAAGCCCUCCUAGCAGGCUUACGUUUGGCCAAACACCUUGGGUUAAACGAAUUGAUAUCUUCAGUGACUCCCAAUUGGUGGUUAACCAGGUCACCAACAACUUUGACGCUAAGGAUAGCUCCAUGGCAGCAUAUCUAGCACAAACAAAAUUGUUGCUCAAGCACUUCCACUACCAGAUCACCCAAAUUCCUCGAGCGGCAAACAGUCAUGCAGAUGCUUUGGCUCACCUCGCCUCAGCGGUUGAAGUCAAGAUUGGGAGAAAAAUUCAGGUCGAAUUGUUAGCAGCACCAAGCACCAUGGCUACGGAAGUGUGCAACUUACAACAAGAAGAUAGUUGAAUUACCCCAAUUUAUAAAUUCCUUGCUCAUGGCAUCUUCCAAAUGACAAAGUCCAAGCUAAGCUGAUUUGAUACAAGGCUACCUGUUACUUGAUCAUUAAUGACCAACUAUACAAGCCGGGUUUUAACCUACCAUACCUAAGAUGCCUUACACCCGCAGAGGCGAAAACUGUCCUUCGGGAAAUACAUGAAAGAGUUUGCGGAGAUCAUGUUGGAUCUCGAUCCCUUGCACACAAGGCUUUUUGCCAAGGAUAUUACUGGCCAACACUCCACCAAGAUGCCAUCAGAAUAUCCCGCUCAUGUGAUAAAUGUUAACGCUAUGCAACUAUUCCUCACUCCCCUUCAGGAUGCUUUGCCUCCCCAGCUCAUCCCCAGUCUAAUGGAUAUGUUGAAGCCAUCAACAAAAUAAUCAAGCGAACUUUCAAAACUAGCUUGGACAAGGCUAAGGGUUGUUGGCCAAAAUUUGUACCCCAAGUUCUUUGGUCAUACCGCAUUUCGUAUCGGACAUCAACAGGAGAAAUCCCAUUCUCAUUUGCCUUUGGUACAGAGGCAAUUGUCCCAGUUGAGCUUGAGCAAGCAAUGUUUCAAGUCCAGAACUACGUGCAAAGCGAAAAUGACAAACAACUUACCCUCAACUUAUAUCUAGUCGAGGAACACAGAAACUAGGCUCACUUAAGGAAUGUCGCCUACAAGUAGUGCAUCUCCAACUACUAUAACUCAAGGGUCAAACCUCGUUCUUUCAAAGUAGGGGAUUGGCUAUUGAAGAAAAGAUUACUCUGCGACAGAGUCCCGAGUGAAGGAACACUUAGUCCAAACUGGGAUAGACCGUUUGAAGUUGUUAGCAUCAGUCGACUUAGCUCCUACAAGCUUAAAAGCUCUAAUGGCAAGACCCUUGGCCAUCUAUGGAACGCUGAUCACUUGAAGUAUUAUUACAAGUAAACUCACAUUAUACAAGUGUUAAGCUUCAGCCGUUCGACAUCCUAUGUAACGAAGAUUAUUUGGCAUGAAUUCAAUAAAGAGGUGAUUUAGACAACUCGAUCAUAAUCCUCUUACAUUGCUAGCAAUGAAACACUCGGGUUCAAAGCUUCAACAUGAAUGCUUCCAACAUGAAACAAAGUCUAAGUAUAUGUCAACAAGACUAUACAAAUAAACGAACAGCUUCACAGUAUAUUCGUUCAAUCAUACAUUCCAACACAUUCAUACAUAAGACAAUUGUGCUUUGAAAAGGUUCAACAUAUUUUGUGUCAUUCGACAUUUGCUACAAUGUGCCUAGACACCUUGCCCUUAUUCUCACCAACCAGGUGAUGAAAUGUGAAGAAGGAACUCAUCUUCAUGCCACCAACCAGGUGAUGAAAUGUACAACCCGUACUCUAAUAUCAUUUGGCAACUUUCCAUUCAUGCCACUAACCAGGUGAAGAAGGAAUUCAUCUUCAUGCCACUAACCAGGUGAUGAAAUGUACAACCCGUACUCUCCUUCAUGCCACCAACCAGGUGAUGAAUUGAAAUGUACAACUCGUACUAUCCUUCAUGCCACCAACCAGGUGAUGAAAUGUAUAACCUGUACUCUCCUUCAUGCCACCAACCAGGUGAUGAAAUGUACAACCCAUACUCUAAUAUCAUUUGACAACUUGCCAUUCAUGCCCCCAACUAGGUAAUGAAAUGUACAACCCGUACUCUCCUUCAUGCCACCAGCCAGGUGAUGAAAUGUACAACCCGUACUCUAAUAUCAUUUGGCAACUUGCAAUUCAUGCCACCAACUAAGGGAAUAAGGAACUCACCUUCGUGCCACCAACCAAGUAAUGAAAGCAACUCACCAUUCAUUCCACCUACCAGAAGACGAGUGGUACAACUUGUACAUGUGAACUCCUAGCAUUCAGAAAUAAUCAAAAACCUUCAAGCUUGACAACUCAUCUAGAGGAGCACUUAUGCCCAGCAAAAGUUAUAGUCACCAACAAAGUCUUAUUGCAAGCCAACAACAACUUCAGUGCAUGGCAUACGAAGAUCAAGCUAUUUAGCCCUCUUGCAUUUGCUUCAAAAAUUUCCCCUCUAUAACAAUGCAAGCACGACAACUUGUAGAAAGCUUCACACACUCUUGAUCAAGAAGUGUGAAGCAAAACCAAUUUAUGGUGCCAACAAGAGUUUCAUCAAUGAAGGGCAACCACAAUUCUCAAAAGCUUCACACACUCUUGAUCAAGACAGUGUGAAGCACAACCAAUUUAUGGUGCGAACAAGAGCUUCAUCAAAUGAGUUCAACCACAAUUCUCAAAAGCUUCACACACUCUUGAUCAAGACAGUAUGAAGAAAAACCAAUUUAUGGUGCCAACAAGAGCUUUAUCAAUAGAGGGCAACCACAAUUCUCAAAAGUUUUACACACUCUUGAUCAAGACAGUGUGAAGCAAAACCAAUUUAUGGUGCCAACAACAAGAGCUUCAUCAAUGAAGGGCAACCACAAUUCUCAAAAGCUUCACACACUCUUGAUCAAGACAGUGUGAAACAAAACCAAUUUAUGGUGCCAACAAGAGCUUCAUCAAAAGAGUUCAACCACAAUUCUCAAAAGCUUCACACUCUUGAUCAAGACAGUGUGAAGCAAAACCAAUUUAUGGUGCCAACAACAAGAGCUUCAUCAAUGAAGGGCAACCAUAAUUCUCAAAAGCUUCACACACUCUUGAUCAAGACAGUGUGAAGCAAAACCAAUUUAUGGUGCCAAAAAAGAGCUUCAUCAAAGGAGUUCAACCACAAUUCUCAAAAGCUUCACACACUCUUGAUCAAGACAGUGUGAAGCAAAACCAAUUUAUGGUGCCAACAACAAGAGCUUCAUCAAUGGAGGGCAACCAUAAUUCUCAAAAGCUUCAUACACUCUUGAUCAAGACAGUGUGAAGCAAAACCAAUUUAUGGUGCUAACAAGAGCUUCAUCAAAGGAGUUCAACCACAAUUCUCUAAAGCUUCACACACUCUUGAUCAAGAUAGUGUGAAGCAAAACCAAUUUAUGGUGCCAACAAGAGCUUCAUCAAUGGAAGGCAAUCACAAUUCUCAAAAGCUUCACACUCUUGAUCAAGACAGUGUGAAGCAAAACCAAUUUAUGGUGCCAACAAAAGCUUCACCAAUUAAGGUCAACCACAAUUCUCAAAAGCUUCACACACUCUUGAUCAAUACAACGUGAAACAAAACCAAUUUAUGGUGCCAACAAAAGCUUCAUCAAUGGAGGGCAACUACAAUUCUCAGACCUUCGAAGCAAAUUCAAUUUAUAUGGUUCAUCCAAACCUUCGACUACUACAAGGUGUGGCUUGCAUCACAAUCUCUUGCUCAAGAGUGUGGAAGCAAAAUUUGUAUAUGUCGUCUCUUCCACAUUUUUAAAUUUCUAGUUUCCAAAAAAAAAAAAGGGAAAUUCAACAAAGCUUCAUCAAUGGAGGACAACUAAAAAUUCUCAAAAGCUUCACACUAUCUUGAUCAAGAUAGUGUGAAGCAAAAUCAAUUUAUGAUGCCCAACAAAGCUUCAACCUCAAAACUUCACCUACAAAGCUUCACCUACAAAGCUUUAAAAUAUAUAUAUAUAUAUUUUUUUUUUCGGAAAUUUGAAAAUUCAAAAAUUCGGAAAUUCAAAAAUUCGAAAAAAAAAAAUUCGAAAAAAAUUUUGAAAAAAAAAAAUUGCCUAGGCCUCCUCUUCUUUGGGCCUAACAACUUUCAUAACAAAUAUAUAUGAAGAAGGAGUUUUGGGCUACCACUUAGAAAGGAAAUGCCUCAUUCGUUAACUCCCUCAAUCAGAGACUUGGGGGACUCCUACCAUAUGCUACUGCACCUUGAUACUCGGAAGUCUCAUGACCACUCAGUGACUUGGAUUUUUCAAGUCUCCAAACGAGAAGUUUUCCUCACUCGGGAAAUUAAGGGAGCACUACCUCAACCUACAUGCUUCACUCACAAAGCUUCAACAUACAAGCUUUAACGAAAGGAAAAAUUCAAAUAACUUAGUGAAGAAGGUCUUAGUGUAUUUAAUACACUACGUUAAAAUGAAGCAAAGCUUGUUUAUUGAUAUCUCUGAUAAGUUAUAAAUAUGUACAUAUAUAUGAAUCAAAAUAAACAAACAAGAGGGAGCCUUCACAAAGGUUCCUCAGGAGAAGUCUCAGCAGUCAGCAGAGCCCCAAAAAGAGAAGGCACCAGAGGGUGAUUAUUCGGAGCCUCAGUACUAGGAAAAACCCCAGAAUGAGAAGGCACCGAAGGUUGAUCAUUUGGAGCUUCAUUACGCGGUACAGCCCCAGAAGACGAAGGCAAUAAAUGCCUUUGGAACAAACCCACAAACCUCUGAUGAUCAAGUAAAAUCUGACCAUCAGAUUCCUGCAGCUGGUCGAGCUUCCUCUUCAUGUAUGUAGCAUAGUCAUGUGUGAGCCUGUGAAACUAUUUAUUCUCAUGCUUGAGCCCUCUGAUCUCCUGUUUGAGACUUAUCACUUCAGCCGCCAAUGAUUCAACUUGGCGGGUUCGAGCAAAUAGGCGUUGGGCCAUAUUAGACACAGAACAUGCACAUUGAACACUAAGAGCCAGAGAAUCCUUAACAUCCAACUCAUCAGACCGUUUAGAAAGUAGUCUGUUAUCUUUGGGAGUGAGAAGGUUCCUGGCCAUCACCACAGCGGUCAUAUCAUUCUUCAUCACAGAGUCCCCAACGGUAAGAAGACCAGUAGGGGAUAAGAAGGAUAGGCAUCAUAUGUUCUCUUGAGAAGGCAUGGCUACCUCUUCACCAAAGUUCAAGUCAAAACGACGGUCGGAUGGGCCAGACAUUCUUAGAAAUGAUGAAGGAGAAAUGAGGUGCAAUAAAUCUCUGAAGUAAGGAGAAAAUUCCUACAAGCAAUAACUCUUUGAAUGUACUCCUUGCACACAAUUGGUGCCCUUAUAAAAGAAAGGGCAACAUGAUCGUUGGUUUAAAAAUCGAAGAGGCACCACUUUCUGGAUUUCGAAGAGGCGCCACUUUCCACACGCAACAUCAGCUCUUCGGGUACCACAGAUAACUUUGCUAAAGAUCUCUGACAAAGUUUAGACACAUAAAUUUUGAAGGUUCAGCUACCCUACUAUUACCCACAAGGGUAAAGGAACAGCACCACUGCUUGAUAACUAGAAAGUCCCAAUGUGUGUCAACCUCCGUGCUCCGGGGCAAGGGAGACUGGUAAAAAUGCCCAACCUUUAUUCACAUUCGAGAAAACACUCCCAACAAGAUUGCUUGCUCAAAAAUCGAAGAGGAACCACUCUCCGAAUCUCCAGAGCCAGACUCCUAACACGAUUACUUUCUCAAAAAUCGAAGAGACACUGCUCUUCGAAUCACAAGAGUCAGACUCCUAACAAGAUUGCUUUCUCAAAAAUCGAAGAGGCACCGUUCUCUGAAUCUCGAGAGCCAGAUCCCCGACAGGAUUACUUGUUCGAAAACCGAAGAGGCACCGCUCUCAGAACUUCGAGAGCCAGAUUUCCUUGGAUAAAGCUUUUCUGCAAUCUUCACACGCAACAUCAGCUUUCCAGAUACCACAAACCAUUUUUUCAAAGCGCUCUGACAAAGUUAAAACAUGUGAAGCUUGCAGCUCCCACUACAUUGCUAUGACCAAGAAGGGUAAAGGAAUAACAUUAUUACUUGCUCAAAAAUCGAAAAUGCACUACCUUCCGAAUCUCGAGAGCUAGACUCCCAACAAGAUUACUUUUUCAAAAAUCGAAGAGGCAACGCUCUCCGAAUCUUAAAAGCCAGACUCCUAACAGGAUUGCUUUCUCAAAAAUCGAAGAGGCACCGUUCUUUGAAUCUCGAGAGCCAGAUCCCCAACAGGAUUGCUUGUUCAAAAAUCAAAGAGGUAUCGCUCUCCGGACUUUAAAAGCAAGAUUUCCUUGGAUAAAGCUUGUCUGCAAUCUUCACACGCAACAUCAGCUUUCCAGAUACCACAUACCACUUUUUCAAAGUGCUCUGACAAAGUUAAAACACAUGAAGCUUGCAGCUCCCACUGCAUUGCUACGACCAAGAAGGGUAAAGGAAUAGCAUUACUACUUGUUGUUAGGGAGACUCCUAUAUAUGUCAACCUCCAUCCUCCAUGGACAGGCAGACCUGCAAAAAUGCUCAACCCUUCCUCAUAUCUGAAAGGGCACUCCCAACGAAGCCUCUCGAAAUACUCAGCUUUCUUCCCUCCCAAUAAUACCUAUGCAAACCAGCCACACCAGAGCAAGAGUAUCUCAUAUCAUCAAGGUCAAAAGCAAAAGUAGAAAGAGAGCAAUCAGUCAGCACUUGGAAUUAAGCUUCCAGUCAGGAACUGACUACCUGGAACCCUUUGCCUGAUUACUUACCUGGCAUUGCUCUCGAGUACUCAUCUUCAACAUCUUAUGCUUCCAAAAAAGAUACCACAUCUGCCUGAGGAACAGAUAGGGCAAGUGAGAAGGAUAUAAGGAAGCAUGUGGAGACAAGUGCAACAGAACACGUGUCGAUUCAUCUAUUACUUCAUCAACAACAAAAGUAUCCCAUAUCAUCAACGUCAAACGCACUCUUGAUUUGAUGGACUUGUUUUAACCCUCAAAUUCUUGAGUCGGCCUUAUACUCUGGAGGAAACCAGAAAACCCUCUAGCCCAGUUCAAGAAUAAGCCUGUGGAAAAUUACUUCUUCAAAAGCAAAAGUAUCUCAUAUCAUCUCUUCUCCAUUUGCUUCUCCGUAUCCUUGUUAUUGUUUCCGACACAAGGAGAAGGAGAACAAUCAACAGGAAGCCGAAGUCGAACCUCCAAUUCAGGUUGCUUGCUUGGAAGUCUGAUUGCUUACCUUGUCUUUACCUCUUUCGGCAAAUCUCCUAGCUUGGCGACUUGGGGGACUCCUACUAUAGGGUUUUGUAUCGCACUUGACCAAACCCGAAACUAUAAGUAAGCUUCAAGUGAAAUUGAUACAUUACCUUGUGCAUCUUUAUCGGUUAAAGAUACCACCUCUAGAUAGAGGAAAAGUACUUCCAGAAAAGAUGCCACAUCUACGUAUGAGACAGAUAAGGCAAGUGAAAAUGAUACCACACUUCGGUACUUAGAAGUUUCGUGAUUACUCAAUGGCUUGGAUCUUGCAAGUCCCCAACCGAGGAGCUUCCCUCACUUAGGAACUUAGGGGAGCACUGUUUGUACCAUACUUGACCAAUCCUGAAACUAUUGAGCAUCAGUCAACGUUAUACGGUCAAGGACCCAGAAGAGUUUCCCUCUAACCAGGAGGCCAAUCACAGCACGAAACGUGUCAACAUCAAAAGCCAAUCAUAGCGCAACACGUGUCAACAUCAGAAGCCAAUCACAACACGACACGUGUCAAUGUUAGAAUGAAACUAGAAACUCUCUUCUAUAAAUAGAGAUCAUUCUCUCACAACAUUUCCUAAUGUCAUUUGUACUAAAUCAUUCACUAGUACUCACUAAAUGAGAGCUUGAACCUAUGUACUUGUGUAAACCCUUCACAAUUAAUGAGAACUCUUCUACUCCGUGGACGUAGCCAAUCUGGGUGAACCACGUACAUCUUGUGUUUGCUUCCCUGUCCCUAUCCAUUUACAUACGUAUCCACACUAGUGACUGAAGCAAUCUAGCGAAGGUCACAAACUUAACACUUUCUGUUGUACCAAAGUCCCCACUUUCUAUUAAGGUCACAAACUUAACACUUUCUAUUUCCCUAUAGUUAGGCACUUUUGAUAUGGAGAAGAGCAAGUCAUUCCUUGAAUACACCGCAGCUUACUCUAGCGAGUUCGACUUUCAGGAGCGGUUGAACUCAUACAACUUCAACAUGCCAACCCAAAAGGGUAGCGGUUUCGCAACAUCAACUAAUCCAGAACUCUAGAGGUAGAAAAUAGUUGACUCAUACAACAUGUUUACUAUAGAAGGUGAGGUUAAAACACUCUAAGAAACAGCUUCAAAUGGAUCAAGAACAGGUUCGUCACCGAUGUUCUUUAAGAUGGAUAAAUUCGAAAUCCAUAACUGUUGAGUUUUAAGUUGUUGAUGCACAAAACCGGAGGUCUUGGAACAACAUAAAUCCGACCGCGAAUCUGCAAGAAAUGUAAAUAACACAAGAUGUAUCGUGGUUCACCCCAAGGUUUGGGCUAAGUCCACACUGAUUAUUGUAUUUCUCUGAAAGCAUUGUGAAUGAGAGAGUGUGAGAGCCUUUGUAAUGAGAGUGAGGCUUCGAGAGGGGGUAAGAGGGCCUAGGAAUUGGCCUCCCCUAAUUGUGAGGGUGAUGAGUCCUUUUAUAGAAUAAGGGCUCCUCACUUAUUACAUAUUUGCCCCUUCUUUUAUUACAUAAUUACAUUUAAGUCCCCUGAGUAUUUGUACGAGAUCUAAAUACGGAGGCCCUAAGUAUGGUAUAAACAGUAGUCCCCCAAGUCUUCAGUCAAGAUUAUAAGUGUGGUGGGAUUGGAGGUAAAAUUUAAAAGAUCCUCUGAGCCUCUAUUUGACAGGGAUGAGGCAUGAUUAGCUUUAUAACUGGGAAACUGAGGCUUUUUCUGAAUAAACCUUUCAUUCUUCAUGAAGUCUAGUUUGAGCUGGGGGUGGAGAAUCUAGCAAUUGUCCCUCACCUGUCCGGUGGAGUUAGGAAUUGAAAUGGUUUUUGACAAGAUUAUGAAAGUCUAUGAAUGCUUCAACAACUUCACUCUUAUAUUUCAAAAGGUAUAACCAAGUAACUCUCGAGACAUCAUCUAUGAAGGUUACAAAGUACUUAUAACCAUCAAAAGAUUCACAAAAUGGCCCCCAUAAAUCUGAAUGUACAAGUUCAGAAACUUGUUUCGUCCAAUUUGAGGAAAAGCCAAAAGGUAACCUAGUGGCUUUACAAAAAUGACAUGUAUCACACUGGAUCACUUCUUUACACAAAUUUGGAAACAAUCUUGACAAAAUAAGCUCGGAAGGAUGAGCUAAUCUUUGAUGCCACAAGGUUGGUCUUGACUUAGGUUAGACUUGACUUGAAAUCCCUUGAGAAAUGAUGUCUCCUUUGAUAGGUAAUAGAGACCAUCUAAGAAAAAACCUUCAACAAUCUUCUUCUUGGUGAUACAAUCCUGAAAAAUGACAGUAUAAGGGGAGAAAGUAACUGAACAGUUUAAAGCAUGUGUGAUUUUUCCAACUGAGAGAAGUUGAAAAGGAAAUGAAGGAACGUACAAGGCUUUAGACACUAUAUUGUCAAACACUAGAUGUAUUUUUCCCAUUCCUAACACUUUAGCUCCCUCCCCAUUAGUAACUGAAACAUGUGAAGGUGUAGAAGUUUUUUAAAAUCAUGAAGCUUGUAAACUUGAUUAGUCAUGUAGUCUGUGGCACCGGAAUCUAUGUCCCACAAAUCAUGCAAUUGAUUUAUAUUUUGAGCAGUUUUGAAACGGUUAGUAUACCUUGCAUGUUCUCUUGAGUGAGCUUUUUCGAGUCAACCAGAAAACCUGAAAAUUUUCCCGACAUUGCAGUUGAGUUGCCAUUACCAGAGGUACCAGUUUCAUCACUCCCAGAGACUUCCUUCUUCAGUUGAAGGUACGCAGCGAACUCGUUUAUAAGUGUGGUGGGAUUGGAGGUAAAAUUUAAAAGAUCAUCUGAGCCUCUAUUUGAUAGGGAUGAGGCAUGAUUAGCUUUAUAACUGGGAAACUGAGGCUUUUUCUGAAUAAACCUUUCAUUCUUCAUGAAGUCUAGUUUGAGCUUGGGGUGGAGAAUCCAACAAUUGUCCCUCACGUGUCCGGUGGCAUCAUAAUGUUUGCAUUUGAAAUGAGGAUUUCUUCCCUUGUACUUCUUAUCACUUGAAAAGUGUUUCUUUUCACUGGAAAAGAAAACCUUAGCUUCCGAGGCAGUUGUUCAUAACCUUUUUUCUCAUUUCUUCCCUUUGAAUUGUUGCACAAACAUUUGCAAAGGUGGGGAGCUCUGGAUUCAUGAGAAUAUGGCUACGCAGAUCCUUCAUAUUCCGACCCCAAACUGGUGAAAAGCUAAAAGAUUUUGUAUUCUUUAGCCCUAUUAAGAAGUAGGUUUGAGUCCGUUGUAUGUGGACGAUAUACCUCCAAAUCAUUCCACAUACCUUUUAGACUUCCAAGUAGCUGAACAAAAGGUUUUCCAUCUUGUUGCAUGCUCGCGAUAUCUCUUUUAAGCUGAAACACAUAGGCUGCAUUAUUAUGAUUUCCAUACAUCUCUUACACAGACUUCCAUAGCUGAAAGGAUGACUCAGAGUAGCUAAAUAUCUCAGCUAUCUUUCUCUCCAUGGAAUUGAGGAGCCAGGACAUGACCAACUGAUCCUUGCUAAGCCAAGAUUCAUAAGUGGUAGAGGAAGCAUCAAAAGCUUCAAUACUUCCAUUUAUGAACCAUAACUUUGAUCUUCCUCCUAGGGCAAGUGAAAUUGCCCUCGACCAUGGUAACUAGUUGAACUCAUUUAGAAGCACAAAACUCAACCUUUGAUUUGGAUUUACAUCAAUCUCCGGUUGAUUUUGAUGACUGGCUCCAAGUGAGCUAUCAGCAUCAGACUCAAGGAUGGGGUUUUUGUCAUCCAUGAAAGAAAGCUUGAAGAAUAAAGCAACAAGUAUCACAGAGACAGGUUAUUCCUGCUCUGAUACCAUGUUGAGUUUUAAGUGUUUGUUUGUAUUAUCUUUCAUAGAGAAACAACAACACAAUAAUACAAGAUAUAUAGGGCAAGGUGUGAUCAACACACUGAUCACCCUUGAAUCACUCCUACACGGCAGCUCCAUAAAGCAGAGAGCAGAAAGAAGGUAAGGCAAAAAGCUUCUAACCACCCUAGAAGUAUGGGAAAGAAGAUACAAGAUCUAACUAGAAGUAAGGUGACAAUUGCACCCAUAUCGUCUACCUAACAAAAAGCUUCUAACCACCCUAGAAGUAUGGGAAAGAAGAUACAAGAUCUAACUAGAAGUAAGGUGACAAUUGCACCCAUAUCGUCUACCUAACAAAUAGCUCUGGAUACCCACUUUUGACUUUUAUUAAACCAUAAGGGAUGACUGAUGGUGCAUAUGACUGAUGUUGCAUCUACUGAUGCUACAUAUGGAAUACCCACUCUUGACUUUCAAUAUUAACAUAAGCCUUUCUUGUAGGUACUAGCUACUUGUUCUUUCUUGGUUGUACACGGUUGGUUUCGUCUGUCAUGGUUAUUAUUGGUAAUCUAAUGCGAAAUCCCCUGAAAAUUAAGAUCAAAGAUGAAAAAAAAAAAUUGUAAAAAGGGUUGUUUCUCUCAAUGCAAAAUUGCACUAAGACUACGGUGAUAUUAUGUUGGUGGCGGCCUAGGGUGCGGCCAUUUAAACUGUAAUAAGUUUUGUAAUAAUAGAUCCAUCUAAUUUGACAUGGCAAAGAAUUAAAUCGCAAGGCUAUAUUAUGGGAAAGUCAUGCUAACAAACCCUCACCCUUUUGAUGUUAGCAACCUGGAGUUAUUAAUUGAAGCUAGAAGUAAGGAUGCACUUGGUUUUCUACAAAUGUCAAGUUCAGUAUUGUGGUUUCGGUUUUAUCAAUUUAAUCAUGUUUAUUCUCAAUUAGUCAAAUUUCUAAUUUCCGUCAAUUGGGCUAAUAGAAUUAGGCAAGGGGAAUCACUACAACAAAAAACCUCGCCAGACGAAAAAAAUUUGUCUGCUCAAAGCUGAUUUUGUUGUCGUAGCCUUUAACCAACGGAGGUUCACCAUGAAAGAUUAGUCGGGCAAAACAUGUUGCACAAAGCCUAAAACGACGAAAAUACAAGUCUGUUGGGCAAAACAAAGUUAGUGUUGUUUGUCUGGAGGAACUUCCGAUGGGGAUGCUUCCUGGUCGACAAGCACACAACUCCUCAAGAGGUUGGCGCCAGUUGAUAUUGUCUGUCGGGUUUCUGCUUAUUGGAGGGUUGUAAGAGAAGGACAGAGUUAAUUCUGAAAGGUGCCUUUGUGGGGCCUUAGGUGUAGGCCUUGAGGCUCACAAUCAAAAUUAACUUUAGGUGUUCAGGCGUGCCACUGCCAUCUUUAGCAUGACAGAUGUAAAACAGGUGUUUAGUUUAAUUGUAUAUGCCCGAGAGACCAAGUUGGCUAUGAAAGGUUCCUUUGUAGGGCCUUAGGUGUAGGCCUUGAGGCUCGUAAUCAAAACUUAACCAAGUACUCGAACAUAUAGUGGUUGUUUCAUUGUUGCAAAAGUUUUAUAACUAUUAUACUUUAAUCACCCGAGCUCGAAGAGCAGAACGAACCCAGAUAGGUGCCUUUGUAGGGCCUUAAGUAUAGGCCUUGAGGCUUCCCAUCAGAAUUAAUUCUAUACUCAAGCGUUCUGUAGCAAUCAUAAUAUAACAGAAGUAAAACUAAGAAAUAGGCUGAUUACUUGCACCCCAAGUAACUUCGGACUUCUUGUUAUCAAGGAUUGUUGUGGAUAGGUUAAGUCCACAUAAAGUUCCUUUUUAUGCCUUGAGACCAAGGACUUUUGAUUGAUAAAUCUUGUAUGACAGAAAGGUUAGAACUUAGAUCUGGUCAAGCUAUGAGUGCGGAUUCCAACUUUAUCUUUUGCAUGGUUAGGCACCAUUAAACCGACCAGAUCCAAGAACCAAGAAGCCUUUUAAUCAUAAACUUGCUAGAAAUAACUUGGAUACAAAUGGAAGUAUACAUCAUAUUACUAGAUUUAUGAAUGAAAAGACAGAACAAAGAGGGUCGGGCAAGGCUGAUCGUCUUGCAACUUCCUUUAUUUGUGAUUUACAAAGGGUUUGAAUGCUAGAAAGGGAGAUUGGGAGAUGAGUUUACAGGAGGGAAUCGAUACUACAACAAGAUUCAGACAAGGUAGCAGAACUUUUACAAAGGCUUUUGGUGAAGGUUGAUCCUGAAAAUGAUGAAGGUUUGGUGAUGACUACUGCUUCGUAUGCAAAUCUGGCUUGAGCAAAGUUUGUGUAUUUGUUUGUUUAAUUGAGUGUGUUUAUCUCUGAUUUCUCUUUCCCUUUUUAUAGAUGAUUUGGCUUGGCUGCUUACAGCAUCGAUCUUGCCUGAAUGCAGCUGAAAGGUAGUGACUCAUCAGCUUUUUACUUGUACUGCCAUUGUAAAGUACUUUUGGGCUGAUUAGCUGGCUAGUCUACACCACUUGACUUCUAGGUAGGUGAGCAAGUAGCUCAAGUGAUCUGCACUUAGUCGGGAAAAGAUCUUUUCCGCCUUCUGGGCUUCGGCUAAACCUUGGGCUUCAUUCCUUCUAUACCUUCUUCUGGGCUAACUUCCUUUUAAGCCCAAAGUUCCAGUUUUAACCCAAACAAGUGUGACUAAUAUACUCGUCGGGCGAACGUGCGUUGACUAAAUUGACCUGACGAAAUCUUCUUGCCUGACAAUAGCAUCUCGUCUGCCAACAAAAUAUUAAAUAAUGUAAUAAACUUGACUCGACAAAAGACCAACUCUAAGAAACCAAAAAUUAAAAAUAAUAUAAAUUUUGUGUGACGGGCCAAUAAAUCGGAGCUAAAACGACUGUUAAAUCGUGAUUUUUCAUUCUAACCAUCGAAUGAUUUCAUCGUGUUACCUAAGCUCUGAAUGUUUCUUUGGGCAAUUUUUGGCAUAGAUGAUCUCAAAGUAUAUGCAAACAUGUUUGACGGUUGGAUCAUGGAAACAAGUUUUGUAGAAUGCGUGUCCUAUCAAAAGAAUGGAUUCCAAAACAUUUACAAUUUAGUCUAUACUUCCAUUAAGUAGAACAUAGGCUUUUGUUGUAUCCACAUGUUUGAUUGAUGAACAGGUUUUGUCAUUGUAUUAUUCUAGGGUUGAGGAUUGUAUUUGUAAAAAUCAACAAAAUCAAAGCUCAAACGACUGUUAAAUUGUGACUUUUCAUUUCUAACUGUCGAAUGAUUUCAUCCCCUAUCUCCGAAUAUUUUUUUGUGGUGAUUUUUGUUGCCAAAGAUAUCAAAGUAUAUGCGGUCAUGUUUGAUGGUUGGAUCUAAGACACUAAUUUCGUAGAAUGUUUGUCCCGUCAAAAGAAUGAAUUCCAAAAUACUUAAGAGUUUACUUUAUACUUCCAUUAAGUAGAAUGUAAGCUUUUGUUGUAUCCACUAGUUUAAAUAUUUAAAUUGAUGACCGAUCCGUUCAUCAUAUUCUUCUAGGCUUGAUGAUUGUAUUUGUAAAAAAAUCAACAAAAAAAUGGAGCUAAAACGACCAUUAAAUCGUGAAUUUUCAUGUCUAACCGUCGAAUGAUUUCGUCCCAUUACCUUAUCGCCGAAUUUUAUUUUGGAUGAUUCUUGGCGUUAGGAGAUCUCAAAGUAUAUGCAAACAUGUUUAUAUCCCUUCCAACUACUAAUUCUAAUAUUACCAUUAGAAUCUUAUGUAUGCGUGUUCCAAACCCCCACAAUUGACUACCAUACUCCUUCCUCUUUUCGCACUUACUCCUCUAAUUUUUAUCACCAAUACUACUCCUUAAAACUCAAGAAAAAAACUAUUUUGAUAUAGGCAACAGCCACCCAUACACCUCAUGUAACACUUUAAAUUUAAGGUUAAUCUCAUUUUUCAACAUUUGGUAUAUAAAGUUUUUUUUGUCCCAGAGUCAUACCUCAAGUCUUAAUUUUGAGACAGUCUCAUACAUCCCUUAAGUUGGCUAUUAAGUCUGCCGUUAACUGAUGACAUGGCACCCACGCGGACAACGAUUGAGAGCCACAUGUCAAUAUGGGCCCACAUGAAUAUUAAAAAAUUUAAAAUUUAAAAAACUAAAAUACUAAACCUAAACCUAAACCAUCCAUCAUGGCCCAGGCCCCUUCUUCCUCAUCCGUCCUGGCCGACUCGGUCUCCCUCCUUCGUCCCUCUCCUCACUCGAUUUCCUUCCUCUGUCCCUCUCCCACUCGCACUCAUCCUUCCCUCACCACCUACCAACCCAACCCAUCCCUCCCCUAAUCGCUCCAUAACUGACUCGGAUUCCCAAUUCCUAUGGCUGAUUUUUUUUCUUUGUUUUUUUUUUAAUUUUUAAUUUUUCUAUAUGUUUAAUCCUUUUAUUUUUUUUAAUUUUUAAUUUCCAACUGGACUCCUUAAUGACACGUGGCGCCCAGUCAUUGUCCACAUGGGCGCCAUGUCAUUAGUUAACGGAAGACUUAACAACCAGACUAAUGGAUGUAUGAGAUUGUCCCAAAAUUAACACUUUAGGUAUGACUCUGUGACGAAAAAAACUUCAUGUACUAAAUGUUGAAAACCACGAAACUUGAAGGUAGUAAACUGAGAUUUACCCUUAAAUUUAUAAGGCACUAUGAUGAGGGUUCUUUUGUGCAGAUAAAAACAAAUGUGAGAAUAAGCAUGCACAUGAUAAGUUUAAAUUUAAAAACACUUGAAAUUAUCAACUUGAUAAAUGUAAAAAAAUAAUAAUAAAAAAAAAUAGUAUCUGAUCCUUAGUUUCUAUUGUUGAUUGACUAAGACCUUAUCAGUUUUUAAAUUUUGAUCAAAGUCCCUAGCAUUAAUAAAAGUUAGUAAUUGGUUUAGAGUUUUAAUACUCACAUCCUUAUUAAAAUCCUAAUUAAUUUUCAAUUCAAACAUUUCCAAAAUAUAAAAUAUAUAUAUAUAUAUAUAUAUAUAUUAGAAAAAGUUUGUACCCUUAAAAUUUUUACAAAAAAAUUUCAAAUUUUUAAUCUUAUAUAUACCCAUUCCUUAACAUACCAAUUUGUUAUAUGAAAAGUAUACCUUUUUUAAAUAUACAAUGUACCCAUUUUUUAUAUAAAAUUCAUUCAAUCUUAUGUCUAAUUCAUUUUUUAAACUUAUAUGGGUACAUUCUAUUUCAUUAAUUUGAGAAUAUAUCCAUGUCAAAUUUAAUAGAAGAAAUUAAAAAAUGUUAUUAAGUCUAAUAUCUUCUCUUUUUUUUUUAAAUGCACCCAUGCUUUGGUACAAUAAUUUUUUCGUUACUUUGGAUGAACGUAUCCAUGUACACACACACACACACAAUACAUUGGAGAGUAUAAUUUAUCUUUAAUAUUUUUAAGCUCAUAAAUUAUGGGUUUUAUUUAUAAUCUCAUUAAUAUAAAUAACUACAAAUUUCAUUCAUAUAAUAACCUACAUUAUUAUAUUAAUGUCAGAGACUUCGAUAAAAAACUAAAAACCACAAAGAUUUCAAUCAAAGAACAUUAGUAGUUAAGGACCGCAUCCAAAAUGUCCUUAAAAAUUUUAGUCAAAAAUUCCUAAACACUUUCUCUCUCAAAUUCUAACUUUGGCAUCAAAGAUUCUUCGACCAAAGCCCCCCCAUUUCAUCGUGGGCGCGUGAGGCUUUUGACUUUAAUCUUAUGUGUUAUUAUUUUGCAGAUGCAUUUUCGUCAAAUAAGAAGAUGGCGAAAAUUUGCAUCCACAAUUGGGAGUUACCUUUUUAGUGACAACUUGAUGAUGAGUGAUGAGAGGGUUUUGAACAAAUACCAUUUUGAUCACCUUUGACUUUUCUUUGAUUGAGUCGUUAUUGUCCGUUGCAUGCGCGUGGGAAUCCCGGUGUGCCUCGAGGGUAAUUUUUUCUUUUUCACCCGAAAGUCCACGUGUCGCCUCUAUAUAAUUUUCUUGAUUAUUUUUACUCCACACCUAUUAUUUCACGUAAUGAAAGAAAAUACUACUGCUGCCUCAAAGACGUAGAUACACUUACCGAACCUCGUAAAUAUUGUGUCUCAUUCACUUUAUAUUCCAAUGCGCACAUACCAUCGAUUAUACAACAAUUCUGAUAUAUGCAGCAGCCACCCAAAAACCUUACGUAACGCUUAAAUUUAUGACGCACUAUGCUGAGGUUUCUUUUGUGAAGAUAAAAACAAAUGUGAGUAUAAGCAUGCACAUGAUAAGUUUAAAUUAAAAACACUUGAAAUUAUCAACUUUAUAAAUGUACCCAAAAAAAAAAUUAUCAAAUUAGCUGCUAACGAACUUUCCAUAUAACAUGGCAACUAAUAAAUAUAUUGGGCUGCUCCAAAAAUAUUCUAACCACUCAACAUUAAGCUCAAAAUCAAAUCAAGUUAAAUACCAAGUAAGACCUACCUAUAUAUAUGAAUGACAUAUUUACUUGAGUUGAAGUCUCUGAAACGUUUGACAUUAUGUGAUUAAGAGUACAAAAGACAAACUUAAGACUAAAAUAAUUGAACCGAAAACAUGCACUAGUCUAAAAUAUUACAAACUCAGAAGUUCUGUUAAGAAUUGCAAACUUUACUCUAACAAUAAAUAAUAUAAAAGGGUUCAACUCUAACAAUAAAUAAUAUAAAAAGGUUCAACGGUUUAAUUGUCUAACUUCAUAAUUCACUCACAGUCUCACAAAAAAUGUCACUUGAACGAGAAGUACGGAUAUAGGGGUUGAAUGUGAGACAUAGGCUGUAUAUACAAGCAUAUAAUUUAUAAUUUAUCCUUAACGGGGAAGAUCAUCAGAAAUUGUUAAACCAUUGAUGGUGCAACUAUUUGCAGCUAUUUGAUCUUGCAUAUUUGCAGAUCUUCCUGUAAAAAAUGCCGGUCGCUCAGGUUUGGGAAGACUAAUAAUUUCAGUUUUCAACAUUAAAACAACUGAUGACAUGGUCGGCCUACUGUUUGCAUCCUCUUGAACACACAAUAGUCCAAUGUGGAUGUAUCUCAAAACUUGGUCUGGCCUGCAUUAAUCUUUCAACAGUAUUGGAUCUAUCAAAUCCAACCCUUUUCCUUCAUUCCAUGAUUGCCAAGCCUGUAAAACAAUAAUUUUUAAGGAUGUAAUUAUAAAAUAGUAUACUACUCUCUCUUUGAUAGCUUAACCAAAUAAUAAUUUGGAAAUAAUAAUAAUUCUUAUACCGAGUUAUUAAAUACUUACAUGUGCUAGAAGUGUAGGAAAACGGCAAUUAAAGCCUAAAAAAUUCUUUCUCCCCGUGGUGAUCUCAAGCAGAAGUACACCAAAGCUAAAGACAUCCGAUUUUAUUGAAUAUAUUCCUUCUAUUGCAUAUUCUGGAGCCAUGUAACCACUUGCAUGUACAAAAUUAAUGCAUUGAGACUUUUUAGUUAGAAAAAACAAAUAUAGUUUUGGGUCAGUCUAUGAUACUUUAUUAAAACAAUAAGAUACAAAUACUCUUCAAUUUUAACGUUAAUAUUGCAAUUCAAUAACGUUCAACACAAUUGCAAUAUACUACCUUGAUAGUGUAAUCUAAUAUCCACACUGUAACUGACAACCUUGGUAAUCUAACCCUUGGUAAUUUACUCAUUUAUACAAAAAUAAAAUUAAUCAAUGGUAUAAGGUAAUUCAUUAAACUUAAAUCUAUGGUCUAAGAUAAUCCUUAACGUUUAUGAUUAAGAUAAUUCUUUGAACUUAAUCAAUAGUCUAAGAUAAUCCUUAAAUUUUUUAUUAAAACCAACUGUAUCUAACACUAAGACCAUUUGUUGAACUUAAUCAAUAGUCUAAGAUAAUUUUAAAAUAUUAUUAUAUUAAAGGGUACCGGUACCUUUACUUUUUAAUGAGGUACCGUAGAAUCCUCCAAUUUUAUAUGUGAAGGUAUAUA